AAGGCUCGGGCAGGGGCGUCCAGGGGCCUUCCGCCCCUGAUCCCCUGCUAGCCCCUCCGGUGUUGUGGCCUUUGUUUCCGGGACUCUCGAGCCCAGCCCUGCCCAGCCCCAGCCGAAGUUGCUCUUUGAAUUUUGGGGGGGCGGUGUCUUGCCCUUAUCUCCCAUCCGGUCUUUUGCUUUUCAGUCUCUUGCCCCUCUGAAACAUUUAAUGAAAAGUUAAAAUACUGUACUAUCUACUGAGAGAAGAUGCUGGCAUCUUCUUUUCUUUCUAACCCUAGUUUAUUUGUUUUUUUUGGAUGUGGGUCCGCAGUUAGGACCGCAAAGGAUGUACGUGGUGGCUACGUUUUGGUAGUUGUAUCUCUGAGUCUGUCAGGGCCUCUGUAUAAACCGUGGGACAAAAGAAGACGUCCUAGAUGUUGUGUUUUUAGGCGAAUGAUUUUAAGUAAUUUUAGGUUUGAAAUGAAGAGUAAUUUGAACUAGUGGUGGAAAAAGCAAGGCCUGCAACACAGCCAUUGAGGUGUUUUAAGUCUUUUGAACUUGUCCGGGACUAGACUAUAACCAUACUUUAAAAGUGCUUUGAUAACAUUAAUCUAUCUCCAUUUACUCUUUUCCUUUUAAAGCUUUGUCAGUGAAGCAGUUUUCUUAAAUCUUUGACUUUAUGGUAUUUACAGUUAAGUGUCGUUAGUCGUGUUUCUCCUCAGGAUGUUAAAACUUUUUCUUUUAAGGCGCCUCUUUAUCUCAUGUUUCAGAAUAAACUGGUAUCUUUGUCAGAAUGGUGAAUAUCAAAGUAGAUGUCUCUCCAAAAUGGAAGGAAAAAGGAAGGUAUUACUGACUACUUCUUGGGAAAGCAUCUUUCUGAUUUGGUUGGAAGAAAUAGUGGUGUUAAUGUCACAACUUAGCACAGAUUUUUAAGGAACUUGUGUUUAGGUAUAAAAGUUGAAGUCCCAGAUUUCCUUACAUUUGGUUUUGAUGUGUUUCUAGGAAAAAACAAAUCACCUUGCACAUGUCAAAAAUGUAAACUGACUUUAAACAAAUUCUGAUAAAUACUAAAAUUCUUAGUAAUUGAAAAAUACUUAGCUUAUCAUGUGAAAACCACUUUACCCAGGCAAUGAUAUAAGGAAAUUGAGCUAGAUUAUGGUUUUAUUCAUAAUUUAUUUUUAUCAUCAUGGUCAUUAUUUCUCCAUCAUCAGUACAGUAUUAGGCAAUAUAGAUGUGUGAACAUUUUACAUAUCCUUCCUUGGCCUUAAAAUAAUUGCUUUCUUGUAUAGGAAAUAAAUUUCUCCCAAAUGCUUUCCUUUUCCAGCUGUAGAUGGUUAGCUCAGUUGGUAAGAGAAAGAAUGCUAACUAGAUGGGAUUUGGUUCCCUUUUGUGCCCAGUUUUCUUAAUUAUGUCUUUCUUGGGUCAGAUAUUUCUUGGGUCCUGAUUUGUCAAGAAGGGAAACUUCCCUAGGGUUAAAGAAUAUCAGCAUCCUGGGAAUCAGUUGACACUGCAGAAAGAACAAAUCAAAGCAAUAUAUCUUUUAGGAUAAUUCCAUAAUUUAAAAAAUAGAAACAUUUAUGUUUCCCAUUAAGGUUUAGAAAGUACUUUCUAACAACUUGCUUUUUAUAGAUGAGGAAGCUGAGGUUCAGAUAUGUCAAAUAGAUUCUCCAGGGUCACAAUAGUUAGGAUUCAAACUCAUCAUUUUUUGGAUUUAAAGCCAGUAUUUUUACUGUGCCAUUUCUCUUAAUGCAAAACUUUUAGAUAUGGUCUCAUAUCCUCAUGAAGGUGUGUCAAUGAUAUCUUCCAUUGAGAAGAAUAGUUUUAAAUAAUGUUUUCUACAAAUUAAGUUUACCUUAACCUAAAAUAUCUUUAGAUCUAGAUUGUUACCUGUUUAUUUUCAUUGAAGGUAACACGAGACUGCUUUGAAGAAAGUAUAGAUUAGAAUAGAGAAAUUUAUUCUUAAUUGCAUUCAUGAAACCUUUCUGCUUUUGGAGUCUAGCAGAAUACAUGACAUAUUGUGGGUUGGAUGACAUGCACAAGCACAUAUUUAUUGAUUACUGCUUUUGAACAGUAUUUCAUUUUUAGUAGUUUGUUGACAUUUUGAGAUGUAAGAUGGAUGCUGAUCUCUAUAUAUACUUCGCAAUACUCAUUUUACUUGCCAAGCCUGAAAUUUUCGGCACAAUUGGAAGGUUUGCAUGUAUAACUUGACUAAAAAGUCACGUUUUUAGGCUUUAAGACACAAAUAUGAAUUUUAAGAGAUAGAUUGCAUAGCAUUUUAAUUUUAGACUAUUUUUAUUUCAUUGAUAGACCAGGUUUUGAUUAUUUUCUAAGUGUAGUGAUAGUGAAAUUUGGAAGGUUAGUUACUUGGUUGAUAGAAUAAGACUAAAGUAAGACUAUUCAGAAAUAUAUCUGAUAGGUAUUCCAGACUGCCAGUUUCUCAAAUAGGGAGGAGAAUCUCUUUUAUUUGGGAGGAUUGAAACUAUUCUUUUGUUAUUACCUCACUACUUGAAAAUAUUUAGAAUAAAUAUAUAUAUAUAUAUAUAAUGUUCACAAAAAUACAAAGUUAGGUCUUUUUCUCACUUUUCUAUUCUUUCCCUGCAUCUUUGAAUAUAAACUUAGCCUAUUAUGAUUUUUCAGUCAAUUAAAAACAGACUUUGAAGGUAUAUAAAAAGGCAUAUUACACUAGUGUCAAAGUGAUGACAAGCUUUAUGUGGUGAGCAACAGUAGACUGAAGAAAUAGAGCUCUUAGAUUCUAGAUUUUUAAUUUUUUUAAUACAUUGUGCUUAAAUAUUUCUUGAAUUUGGCUUGUUUAUACUCAGAUUUAUCUUGAAAUUGUUUUUAGCAAAAUUAGAACAAUACUGAUCUUUAAAUAGUUUUUGAAAAAAAUAAUUGAGGUAAUAAUGACAUCUGUUGAGUAAAUGAUUCAGAAGUUGUAUGGAAUAGUGUAAAGUGUGCUGAGAUUAGAGUUCUGGGAUGGAAUCUUGCCUCUAGCAAGUACUAGUUGUGUGACCAUGAGCAAAUCACUGAACUUCUCUGAAUCUUAGUUUUCUUUUUUUUUUUUAAGUUAAGAAAAUAACUAGAAAUCUAUGUUUUUGGGUCAUUGUUAGUGGCUUUGUAAAUUUUAAAGCAUUAUGGAAAUGUUAGUUAUUAUUAUUCAAAACAUCAAUUUGUUCAAAGAUUUGUUAUUUCAUCAGUGUAGGUCAUUCCCUUGAUAGACUCAGAUCACUAAAGUUCCACUUUGCUGUCUUAUCUUGAAAUGGAGGUGACCCUGCGUUUUCAAAGUUCAUGCCAGCCAGCAGACCGCAAGUCCUGAAAGCUUCUGCCAAUCUGGAAAAGCUUUGAAUACGAAUACAGGCAUGGACAGGUGGCAGUGUCUGUCAAUUUUCAGAGAUUGGAAGUUGGCUACAGGGUAAGAAUUUUUCUAUUAAGCACUCUGUGAAGAUCAUCUAGUAACUUGUAGGAGGUAGUGGUGGUCUCUGUUGCUGCUGCUUUAUUUAUUUAUUUUUAACAGUAAUGUGAAUUCACAAGAUCAUUGGCAAUUAGUGUUGAGAAGUCAGCAGAUUGGUUUAGAGAAACAAUUUAGAUCAGUACUUUAUACUCCUUGAGAAUCCUCUGGAGCACUGAGAGGUUAAUGACCUAUCUAGGAUCAUAUAACUAUUGUGAGUUAAAGGUGGCACUUGAACUCAGGCCUUUCUGAUUUCAAGACUAGCUUUCUGGCUACUACAUUAGCUGCCUGAUUUACUAGUCCAAAACCCCACAAGUUUGGGGGAAUAUAUUAGGCAAUAAUGAGUCUUAAAUUAGAAGAUGAUUAUCCCCUAGGGCAUAUAUUUUGUUUAGGGUAGAGUUGAUUAUUCCAAGGAUUUUAUUCAGUCAAGUACUGAGAAAAUUGUGGCUGCUUUCACUGUUCUUAAGUGUGACAGUGUUAAGAGAAGUAAGCCAGAGACCAUAAAGUUUUUAGAACUCUUAUAUACAAUACCAUGAUAUGAAUAUGAGAAAAUAGCUAAUACUCUGGAGGCUUUUAGAAUGCACAUAUUUUUUCUCAGUAAGAGAAGGGAGCAAAGAACUGAAGUGGUCUUUUUCCACCUAUGAAUGUGGUUUUUGUUUGUUGUUAUAAAGAAUAAAAGGUGAGAACUAAAGCAAUAAAUUUCUUUAAUAUACUACCCAGAGUUGUUACUAGUUAAGGAAAUCAGUAUUAGAAGAAGGAAAAAUAUUUUCCUUUUCUAUACCUUAUUAGUGCUUCUGAUCCUGCACUUUCUUCUGAGAACUCUGGGUGGAUAUACAUACAUUCUGUUUACAUAUAUGACUGCUGGAUCACAGCCAUGAUCUGGAGAGGUGUUAGAGGUUAUCUAUAAUCAUCUCCCCUCUCUUUAGGUGAGCAGACAGGUCAGCAAGGUGAGUUGACUUGUCUAGGAUCAGACAAAAUCAAAAGAAAGCUCAUGUUAGCUGAUUUCUUUCUAUUCCAUUAUUUUCUGCCAUACCAUCCCUAACAUAAAGGAAUGAGGUGAUAAUUUGAACUUUCUCCUGUAAUUCCAUUCACAGUCAAAUGAGAAACUGUAAUAAUUAUCCACUAAUAGUUUUACUUCCUGAGAAUGGGAAAUGUUCUUUAUAAUUCAUUCAAUAGACAUUUCCUAUAUUGGUGAAAAGUACUAAAUGUUUCUCUAUUGACUUGUCUUUAACAUAUGGAUUCUAGAUGAAGUUUAUGAAAUUAAGAAUCUUUUCCAUUCAGGGAUCUCGUGUUAGUAGGAUUGCUAAAGGUUUUACGUAAAGUAAUUAGAUUGACUUUUUUGGUAUCAAGAGUAUGCUUGUAUCAGAAACAAUUUUGUAAAAUGUUUCAACUUGUGGCUGUUGACCAAGUUUUGGAUGGGUUAGCCAGUCUCUUUGGAAUUGUGUUAUUUCAUGUUGGUAUAAAAAUGAAUUGCUUAUUUAGAUUGAUGAGUAAAUGUCAAAUUUUGUGUAACUUUUAUUACUUUGAAUCCAAGAUUGGGAUGAGGUGGGGAGGAAACAUUGCUUUUUAAAAAGUAAGAUGAAAUAUUGUCAAAUUUUAGACUAGCACUUCCUGGUUUUUUAAAUAAUAUUUUCCCCUUCAAAAUAUAUAUUUUUUUAAACCCUUACCUUCUGUCUUGGAGUCAAUACUGGGUAUUGGCUCCAAGGCAGAAGAGUGGUAAGGGCUAGGCAAUGGGGGUCAAGUGACUUGCCCAGGGUCACACAGCUGGGAAGUGACUGAGGCCAGAUUUGAACCUAGGACCUCCCAUCUCUAGGCCUGGCUCUCAAUCCACUGAGCUACCCAGCUGCCCCCAAAAUAAUUUUUAACACUCAUUUGAAAAAAAAAAGUUUUGAGUUCCAAAUUCUUUCCCUUACUCCUUUCCUCUUCCUGAAACAGUGAGCAUUCUAAUAUAAUUUUUACACAUAGUGCUACAUAUUUUUAGAAAGAAUAUAGCUACAGUGUGAAAAAAUUGUUGAUUAUUAGAUAGCUUGUUCAAAUAAACAAUUAUGACGAUGUUUGAAGUCUUACAUAUAUAUAUAUUUAUUUUGUUUUGAAAAAACUCGAAACUUUCUGUAAAGAAUGUAUCACAUAUUUUAAGUAAUGAAGCAAAACCGUGAAGACAUUUGUUUAGGUCUUAAAUCUGGACAAAACACAUUUUUCAAGAAAAUAGUGACUAGUAAUAAAAAAAUACUUAUUUUUCUAGUGUGAUUCAGAAAUAAAGGGCCAAAAAGUCUGCAGUGGAAAAUGUCAACUUUUCCAAGACCCUAUUAAAACACUGAAUCACAAAUGAAAAAGAUGAUUUCUUCCUUUUGUAUCAGUACAUUUGCUUAUAGAGAGUUCAUCCUACAAGGUUAAGCAGUCAAAAAUCCAGCCAGGAUUAUGAGAGAUUCUGUGUCAGGGGGAAUGAACUUUUGGCACAGUGAUUGUCAUGGUGAAGAAGUCAGUGUUCUGGCUUACAAUAUGCUUUUUUGUCACGUAGUCUGUGACUUACAAUGGUAUUACCUAGGUUAUUCACCUGUUUUUAUUCAGUGUUAAAAGUCUUUUAAAAAAAUAUCCUUUUUUUAUAAUCUAGGCCUUCCCCAUUAUCCAUUCCAUAUGGUAUCCCUACCCUAUAUGCUGUCCUUUAUGACAACGAAGUUUUGGAUUAAAAAAAAUUUUUUUUGAAAAAAAAACUAGUAAAACCAGCAAACAUUGAAAAAGCCUGGAAUUUUGUACAAUAUUUAUUCAUUCAAUUUCAUUGUGAAUGUAUUUCUUUUUCACUUUUCUAGCACCCCCCCCCCCCAAUCUAUACAUCCUUAAAAGUAUGUGCUACCAUUAAGGAUAUAGCUAUUAUUUAAAAGUUUAAACCCAUUUUAUAAGCAUUAUUAAAUUAGAAUUCUAUGAUUCUGGGAGGUAGAAGUGUAACAAUUAUCCAUAUUUUACAGAUGAAAAAACUUAGGAUAAAGCAUGUUAAGUGGUUUGGUCCAAGGUUAUUCUACUAAUAAUUUUCAGUGGAGGAAUUUGAAACCUGGUUUUUCUGACAUCAAGGCCCAAUACUCUGUUGACUGUGCUAGGGUUUCCUCCCAUUCAAAAUAGUGAACAGUAGACUUUGAAAGCAGAUACAAACAUGCAUUAAACUAUGAUAGUAUUAUUGAAAUAAGUCUAUAACCUACCAAGAUGACUUUCUUUGAAAGGUGUAACACGUAUGUGCAUUUUGAUAUGUUUAUUAACACUAGAAGCACCAAACACCUGAAUUGACACAAAAAUUUGCUUUGAAAUAAAAUUUGUUAUCCUACUAGUUCUAUUUGCUUUUUGGCUAAAAAUAGCACACUGUGUCAAUUGAUACAUCUUGGUCUUUCAAAGUAUUCUUAAACUCAGGUACUUCUAGUUAAAAUCAGUCUCUGUAUCUUUUGUGCGAAAUGGGACUGUAUUAAACUUCAGUUUUGGGCUUUUAAAGUAUAAUGUAUACAACAAACUUAAAUCCAUAAUCUAUAUGAGUGAAAUUUUACAGUGAAUUGUAAUUGUAGAACCUCUGAGUAAUAGUAUUGAAGGCUAUGUUCAGUUAAUUGCACUAUUGCUCUUCAAAAUAAUUUCUAAACCAUCUUUUUCACUCCCACUUCCACCCCCACCCCCACCCCCCUGGAAAUUUGGAUACUCAGCUCUGGUCUUUGCUUCCCUGGGACCAGGCUACCAGGUCCUUUCAGGUUAUUUGCAAACCGUGCUGCUGCUGGUUCCCCUCUCCCCAUUCCCCUCACUAAUUGUUAGCUUUCUCCGUGAGAUUGUAAAUGCCUUAAAAUUAGGGACUAGUUUGAUUAUUUGUCUUUUUUUUUUUUAAAUCACUUCUGCUUAAUACUUUGCUUGGCACAUAGUAAGCACUCAGUUAUCUUUCUUUUAUCCAAAGCUUAGUUUUCUUGCUCCCUCAGAUUCUGUUAACCUAAGUUCUAGGACUGAAGUAAACAAAGAACUCUUGAAAUAGCUGUCACAAAGCCAUUGUAUUAAAUCUAAAUAUUUUUAUUACUAUUUAGGUAGUCAGAGUAUUUAGAUCCUUUAAGUAUGUGUAUAAAUAUUUGUAUAUUUAACCUAUAGUUUUUAACAUAUAAUUAACUUCUUUCUAGUCUACAGAAAAACCUUGCCACUGGUAGGUGGUGGUUUUAGUUCAUUAUUAUGGCCUUGCCGUCAAGAAAAUGUUUGUUUGAAUCACAGAGAGGGGGAUUAACGUCCAGUGAGUCUAGAAAGAUAGGUUGAGGCUAGAUUGUGAAGGAUUUUAAAAAGCUAAACAGGGAAAUUUAUAAUUUUUCCUAGAUCCAAUGAGAAACCACUGAAAUUACUUCAGGAGAGGGUGUCAUCUCCACUUAAUGAAAAUUACUUUGCCAGCAGUAUAAAUUAUGGCUUGGAGUGGUCAUAGACUUAAGGCAUAGGGACCAGUUAGGAGGUUGCAAUAAUCUAGGUGACAAGAACCUGAGGGAGAGAAGGCUUCAGAUAUGAGAUGUAAAGGUAAAAAUGGCAAGAUUUAGCAACUUGAGAUGAAAUAUGGAAGCGGAUUCUUCAAAAAAAGAGAAGGGAAGUUUGGAAAAGGAUGAGGCAGACUUGGUGAGUAUGAUGAGGAGUUAAAUUUUAGACAUUGAGUUUUAGAUAUUUCUGAAACUUAUAGUUGGAAGUGUUCAAUAGGCAAUUGGACAUCUAUAAGUUGAUAUGGGACCAAAACUUGGAGGAAACAUUAGAAUGGAAAUGUAGAUAUACACAGAAAGGAUAUUUAAAUCCAAGCAAGCUAGUGAAGUUACCAAGAAAGGGAAAUUAGAAGAAGAGAGGUAAUAACCUUGGGGAACCUCCACAAUUAGGGAAUAUGAUAUAAAUGAAAAUCCAGCAAAAGAGACUAAGCAGUUGGACAAGUAGGACUUUUAACGGAGUAGAGAGAGUAUCCAGGAGAGGGAGGCUAAAUACAAUAGAUAGGUUGAGAAGAAUUAGGGCUUUGAAAAGACUAUCAUAUUUUGACAUUUAAGAGGGAAAAACUGAUGCCAUUGUAGUCUGUAAAGCCAUGAAUGAUAUAAAUACAGUGAAAAGAUUUGUUUACUAAAUCCCCAAAUAGGAUGAGGGGAGGUGGCUUUGAAAACUUCAUAGAGACAAGGUUAGGGCAAAUCAAAGAAAUAGUACUUCCCUCAGGAGGGAGUAGUAAGUUUGUGGAACUCAUCCCAAGAGAGGGAAGAAGAAAUAAAAAGAUUUAGAAAGUGUUAGGACAAAUCUGUGAAAAAGAAAUUAAUUUGAACUAAUCUUAAGCACAUCCUUUCUCAUUCAGAAGACUGAACUUGGUGGCUCUUAGGUCAGGCCUAGUUCAGAGUUUUUAGAUUUUUAAACAAUAAGAAGGUAGGGAGAAAAUAAGCAUUUAUAUACUGCCCACUAUGUGCUAGGCACUGCACUAAGUGCUUUACAAAUAUUAUCUCAUUUGAUCCUUAUAAAAAACCUGCAAGUUAGGUGCCUAUUCUCACAUUUUACUGUUGAGGAAACUGAGGCAAACAACUUUGUUCAGAAUGAUAUGGCUGGUGUCAAUAAUAUAUUUCAAAGAGGACUCUUUAAAGUGUUAAUUUUUUUGGUAAAGCUGCUAUUUUUUGAUUUAUGAAUUGGAGCAUUCAUUUGGCUCAUGUAUUGUGAUUUUAAAACUACCGGUUGAUGGCAGUGAGUGCUUAAGAUGCAAAAAGUAUAAAGGAAAAAAGUGGGGCAUAUCAAAGCAUAGUUUAAGUGAACUUAAAUUUUGUUUCAGUUUUGUAAUUGCAAGUUGAUUGGACAUUCAACACUCCUGAAUGUUGCUAGAGUCAGAUUAAAAUGUGAUUGGGAAAAAUUAACAAGUUAAAUUUAAAAAAUCAAUAAAGCAUAAAUUUAUUUUUAAGUGGUCCUCUGAGGUCCUUAUAUAUGGUUUAGUGACCACCUUUCUAUUGGAGUUUGACAUCACUGCUCUAGGUACAACUUUAAGUCGCAGAGAAGGUGUUGAUCUGUCUUGUAGUAGGAGAUGUUUUUUUACCCCUCAUUACUAGUGAAAUCAUUCUCUGCCCAUAUUCCUAGACUUAUGACUAUCUUAAAACUUCUUACCUAGUUUAUGUUUUGAAAUAAUUUUUAAAAUGCCCCAUAAGUUUUGAUCUAGCAAAAAAUGUCACUUGGAAUUUUUCUUAGAACCGUUCUAAUCAAAUAGCCUUUUUAGGUUCAUCUAAAUGGGGAAAUUGAUUAUGAAUGCUGGUUUUUACUUUUUCUCAGGAACCAGCAUCAAAUAUGGUCCGGUUCAUCACCCCUUCAAUGUUCUUAUAAGAUCAGACCUAGAAUUUUCAAGAAUGCAAUAUUCUUUUCAACCAUGGCAUUUUCCCUUUUCUCUAAGACACUCCCAUUUGAUUGUGACUCCCUUUCCUUCUUUUGCCUUUCUUGAAUAUUUGUGCUUAAAAACUAUUUUACAGAUUUGUUACAUGCUGAGCUUAACAUUUCAUGGUUGAGUGAGAAUUCCCAAAUGGAGAUGCUUUACAAAAUAUAAAAUGCUUUCAAAAUCUCUUCAGUUUCUAUGAAUUUAUAUUGUCUAUCCAAUCACUUGUUCCUGUCUGUUAUAAACAAAUUCACAGGGGGCAGCUAGGUGGCUCAGUGGAUUGAGAGCCAGACUUAGUGGGAGAGUCCUAGGUUUAAAUUUGGCCUGAGACACUUCUUAGCUUUGUGACCCUGCGCAAGUCACUUAACCCCUGUUGCCUAGCCCUUACCACCUCUUAUGCCUUGGAACCAAUACACAGUAUUGAUUCUGAGAUGGAAGGUAAGGGUUAAAAAAAAUCCACAGAAUAGAUAUAACAUAUAUAAUGAAGUUAAUUUAUUUUCCCUGUGAAGAUAGACCUUGUUUGCUAGUUGAGCUUUGAAUAGUUGUUGACUUAACAAUUUGAACAUUGCAGGAAGUUUACCAUUAGGACUUUUCCCAUUAGCAUUUGGUUCUCUCUCACUCCCUUUCUCCUUUUUAAAAACCCUUAACUUCUGUCUUCGAACCAAUACUUGGUAUAGUAUAGUAUAGUUCUAAGACAGAAGAAUGGUAAGGGCUAGGCAAUGGGGUUGAAGUGAUUGGCCCAGGGUCACUAAGGAAGUGUCUGAGACCAGGUUUGAACCCAAGAGCUCUAGUCUCCAGGUGCCUGGUUCUCUAUCUACUGUGCCAUCUAGUUGCCUCCCAUUUAGUUAGUUCUCUUUUAAAAUAUUCUUGUAAUUUGCUUGUUUAUGUGUCUGUGGAAGUUUAAUGAUGUUGUUUGUUUUUUGUUUCUAGUGAAGUAAGAAACCACAAAUACAGAUUUAAGGAAAAUCUUUUUGUUAAUCAUUUAAUCCAUCAUUUGAAUGUCUUGCCCUCCCUUUCAUUUUAUGAAUCCUCACCAUCAAAAAUCAUAUUUCAUAUGAUGACAGCUGGCCUUUAUGUGGUACUUUAUGGCUACUAAAUGCUUUAUAUAUUUUAUCUCAGUAUCACAAUCUUGUGUAUAAGGUUGAUAGUUUUAAGUGUUUUCAUCUAUUUUUGAGGUGAAGAAAUUGAAAUUCAAAGAUGACUUAUUGAUGGUUAUAUAUAAUACUAAGAGACAGAGUCAGAAUUGAGAGCCAAUAGUUAACAUGAUUUCUCUCCCCCCACCCCCAUUUUGAGUAUAAAAGGUGAAAUUAGUUAAUAAAAAGAAUUUCAACAAGUAUUUUAAAAAAUUCUUAAUGGAUAUAUAUGUAUACACACACAUAUAUAUGUACAUACACACUCUCAUUUCCAAAUAUAUCCAUUCCUCCCCCUCUUCCAGAGCCUUAAAAGGGUAAUAGAGAAAACAGCAGUAAACCAGGAAAGGAAUUGAGGCUACUGUUUAUGCAGCAUUCCAUCUUUACACCCCCCCCCCCCUUUUGCAAAGAAGGCAGGGAUGCCAAAAGUUGUUUUUAACUGAAGAAUCUAAAGAGAAAUUUAAGACUUCUUCAUCUUUAUACUCCUAAAACAACUUGCUUUAUCUAUUCUGAGAUAUUCUCUUCUGGAAUUGCUCUUGCACUUUCUUUAGAGACCUUAAUUAGGUUCUUUCUCCUUUUUUUGCCUUUUGAUUGUGUUACCUGUGGGACUUUGCUGGGCAUAUUUUCUGUCUUUCUGAUAUCAAGUAAAGACUAUAAACAGGUGACUGAUUUAUUAUGUAGGUCAUUGUAGUUUUUCUCUUUAUCAUUUGCUUUUUUACAGCACAAAGUUUUGAAUUCCCACCAUUACAGAAAGUGAAAAAUAAUAAAAUAGCUUCCUCCCAUUUCUUAUAAACUCUUUCAUAAAUUCUACUUUAGCCAUAUUAAACAUUGCUAAUAAACUUAUCUAAACAAAAAUUAGAAUGUAUCACUUUUUCUAUCUUACUGUCAUUUGCUUUGCCUGUUUAUCUAUCUACCAGCUGCUAUUUUAACAAUAUUUCUUCUUCAUUCCUACCAACAUGUUGAUAUAAUUUCUCUUUUCCUGAUUGUUUUCUAUCUGGGUUGUUGCACAUUAUCCUAGAGCUAGGGAUCCCAAAUACACCCAUAUUUUUCCUAUCCUUAAAAACUAUCACUUUUCUGACUAUCUCUGCUAGUAGUUGUCCUAUAUUUCAGGUACUCUUGGCUAAAUUUGAAAAAUCGAUUUAUAGUCUGUGCCUCCAUUUCCUCUCUUCUCACUUCUAAACUGUUGGCAGUUUGACUUCAGAUCUCAUUGUUCAAAUUCUUUACAAAGUCACUGGUGAGGUUUGCCAAAUUUAAUAGGCAUUUUCUUAUCUUCAUCCUUCUUGACCUCUGUAACCUUUAACAUUGUCAAAUGCCACUGUAAAAUUCCUAUCUCCUAGAAUCUUUUCUUUCUAGGUUUUUGUGACAUUGGUUAUUUUUGUUUCUCUUCUUAUCUGUUUAAUCAUUCCUUCUUACUCUCCUUUGGGGUGGGGCAGGAAAGGAAUCUCCAUUCCAGAUCAUGCCUGCUAACUUGAUAUUCCCCAAACUCUUCUCUUCAUCUUCUGUAUGAUACUGUUUAGUGGUUUUAUCAACUCUUUUGGGUUCAUUUAUCAUCUCUGUAGAGAUGAUUUACAGAGCUCUGUAUCCAACCUUAGUCUGUCUCCUGGGUUCCAGUCCUACAUUAUCUAAUUGCUUUUCAAACUGUUCCAUAAACUUUUUCAAAUUCAGUAGAUCCAAAACAGAACUCACCUUUCCCCCCUCAAAACCCAUUAGCCUUUCUAUUACUGUCAAGGUCAUCACCAUCUCCUUAAUCAUCCAGCUUCACAACCUUGGUGCCUUUCUCAACUCCUUACACUUAUAUGACAUGUUCAAUCUAUUAACAACUCUGGUUGCUUUUACCUUCACAACAGCUUUCAUAUAGAAAAUAUAGACAUCCUCUCCAUUUCUACAUGUCCUUAGUGCCUUAGCCUGAACUACUGAAAUUGUCUUCUAAUUGGUCUCACUGCUUCAGAUUUUUCAGCUUAAUUCAUCCUCCAAUUACCUGAUAAAGUGAUAUUUCUAAAGCAUAAGUCUGUUCGUGUCACUCUUCUCCCCACCCACUCUAGGAUUAAAUCCUUGGUUUGGCUUUUAAAGGCCUUCACAACCUCUCUACCAUCCUACCUUUCUAGUCCUCUUAAAACGUUACUCUUUACAGUAUAGCAAUCUAGCAACAUUGGCCUUCUUGCUGUUCUUCCAGAUUAGCAUGCCUAUCUCCAGACCUUGUGCCUUUUAAUGCCUAAAACACUCUCCUUCUUGUGCUCUGUGUCUUGGUUUCAUCCCUUCAAGCCUCAGCUCAAUCCCUACCUUCUGCAGGAGACCUUUCUAUUUGGUCUCUCCCUACUUGAUAUUAGUACUUUCUCUCUCAAAAUUAACCUUCCACUUAAAUUGUACAUAUCUUAAACCCUUACUUUCCAUGUUAGAAUUGAUACUAAGUAUCCUAUCCAAGAAGAUCAGUAAGGGCUAGAUAGUGUAGGUUAAGUGACUUGCUGAAGGUCAUACAGCUAGGAUGGGCCAGAUUUGGAUCCAGGACUUCAUGUUGCCUAGCUCUUUAUCCACUGAGUUGCCUAGCUGCCCCUUUUGUUCAUUAUUUUACCCCAGUACUCUUUGAGGAUCCACUCAGAAAUCACCCUCUGUCCUCUUCAGAUUACACUGUAUAUUUCACAUUCUGUAUUAACUAAGUGGGAACAUAUAUUCCUAGCUUUAUUGCAUGUUUGUCUCUCAUAUUAGAAUAUAAUCACUUUGAGGAUAAGGACUAUGUUUUUGCCUUUCUUUAUUUCCCCAUCAUGCAACAAUGCCUGGCACAUAGAAGCACUAAUAGAUUUGUUUAUUGACAAUUACCUGUCAAGAUAUUAUGGAGGUAACAGUGAGAGACUUGGUGGUUGCUAUUUGCCUGGUAGGCUGAAAAAGGAGAGCAUUUGAGUUGAACCUCAGAUAGAGGUUCGAAUAGGGGACCUUUGAGGUCUUUUAUGAGAAUAUUCUUAUUCCUUCACAUUUAUCUUUGUGUAUUUGUGUAUCUUGCUCCUUUUUAAUUUUAUUUUUUUAAAUUUUCUUUAGGGUAAGGUCUAUACAUCACUUUUUAACUUUGUGUCCCAAGUAAUUUGCAUUUAGUGGGGAGGCUUAUUAAAUGGUUAUUUCAUUAAAAAAAAAAAAACCCUUACCUCCUGUUUAUAGAAUCAUCACUGUAUAUUAGUUCCAAAGUAGAAGAGUGGUAAGGGCUAGGCAGUGGGGGUUAAAUGACUUGCCUGGGUCACACAACUAAGAAAUACCUGCAUCAGAUUUGAACUUGUCUCUAGGCCUGGCUCUCAAUCUACUGAGCCACCUAGAUAUCCUCACAUUUCAUUUUUAACAUUUUACAAAUGUACAUGAGCCUCAGGUUGUGAUUUGUCACAGCUGGUAAGUUCCAGUUAGGUAGAUAUCUAUAUUGUGGGACCUGUGUUCGGAGGGGGAACCUUAGGUUAUGUGCUGCUUGUGAGAGAGAGCAGUUCACAAUAUUCACUCAAACAGGACCCUAACAUUUAUCUUUUCUUCUCCCAAACUACCUCUCUCAUGCCCAAUAAAGUAUUUCAUAUUUUUAAGCAUUCUCUAGCAUAGCAUAGCUAUAUCAUUAACCCCCGGUGAAAGAUGGAUUUUAUUUGUUUGCUUGUUUGAAGGUAAAUUCCUAUUAUGACAAAUGAUAUUUCAAAUAAAGAUUCUGUAUGAGCUAUUUUCCACAUGCCUCUCCCUCCCAUCCCCCCCAUUCAUACAAGCAGAGCUUUGUUCAUCUGGGUAUAGUGACAUCUAUUUAAACAUAAUCCUGCAACUCAAUUCAGUUUAAACUGCAUUUAUUAGGACAAAUACUUUUCCUAGUAAUAUGUAACAAUUACUAGACAGUGAGAGACUUGGUGGUUGCUAUUUGCCUGGUAGGCUGAAAAAGGAGAGCAUUUGAAUGGGCUUUUUACAUUCCUUCAAUUAACCUUCAAUCCCCUCACUCUUACAUUAUUACAUUUAUACUCAUCUGAAUUUUGAAAAUCACUGAAACUGGGGGCAGCUGGGUGGCUCAGUGGAUUGAGAGCUAGGCCUAGAGAUGGAAGGUCCUAGGUUCAUAUCUGGCCUCAGACACUUCCCAACUGUGUGACCCUGGGCAAGUCACUUGACCCCCAUUGCCUAGCCCUUACCACUCUUCUGCCUUGAAACCAAUACACAGUAUUGAUUCCAAGACAGAAGGUAUGGGCUUAAAAAAAAAUCACUGAAGCUUCCAAAUUACCAGCCACAAUAGAAAGUACAAAAAGAUCCAAGAAUUUAAAAAAAGAGGAUGGGGAAUGGAGUACUUGUAUAUAUAAUAGUUUCUUCCUCUCCUGGCAUCAGAGCACUCUUAUUUUUUAUUGUUGAUAUGGGUAAUACUCAGAUUCUCAUUUCUAGGUUGUUCCUAUGGACCAGGAGUCAGAAUUAUUCACUUUUAGAGUUGGAAGGAGCUGGAAAUUAGAAGCUAAUGAUACCAGUAACAAAGAUUUAUAAAAUAAUAUGGUUCAGCUUUGUAAGAAUAGUAUUAGGAAUGCUAGAGUUAAAAAAAAGCAGAAUUUAGAGGGGGGGGUCUAGGAAAAUUUUGUUAAGGAGUGUUUUUAAAGCCCUAUCAGAUAAAAGAGAAGAUAUAUCUUCCACUAUUAUAUCUAUUUUCUCAUCCUUUGUUCAUAUGAUAAACAUUCAAAUACUUGUUCUGCUUGUGUUCAUAUGAUAAACAUUCAAAUACUUGUUCUGCUUGAGAAUAGGUGACAGUAGGUUUAGGCUUUUCAGAAAGAAAAACUAACCAAGUAGUGCUAUUCCUCAAUAAUAGUUCCCUCUCUCAAGAAUUAUUUGAUCACAGACAAGAUGACCACUCUGAGGGAUUUGUUGUAGAAAUGUUCAAGUAGAGAUUAAACUAAAUGCUGAAUUUCUGAGUGAAUAUUCAUUAAAACUAACUUGUAUAUUGUUAUCACUUCUAUAUCCCUUCCCCAACAAAGUGAUUUCUAAUGUUCUCUGGAGAUAGAUAGGUAUGCCUAUCAUUAUAUUUUAAAGUUUGUUAUCUAAAAGAAGGCUAAAACUUGAAGUUGGCUUUUUUGGUGCUCCUUAAUCUCUUUUCAGACUAAAUAUCCCCACUUUUUUUAAACUGAACUCCAUAUGAAAGUUCUCUUACAUAGAUAACUUCCUGCAAACCAUGGCUUUACUAUUUUUGCUUUUUUCUGACAUUAAUUUUCACAAUGUUUGCCUUGAGCCUAUAUGUCGCAAUUGGAUGUUUACAGUGCAAGAACUGAGUCAUGUGGUAAUCUCAAGGAACAGCUAUGAAUAGGUAAAUUAUGUGACUCAAUUUAGCGUGAUCUAGCUUCAUGUAGUAUUUAGAAUUUUCCAUUCAUUUCGUAUCUUCUUGCCCUUGUACCCUAAGCUUUGAAUGCUGUCCCUCACUUUACCCCAAUGCCCUUUGAAGGUUCACUCAGGAGUCACUGUCCUCUCUAGAUCACAUUGUAUAUUGCAUGUAUUCUAUAUUAACUUAGCUUGGAACACAUAUUCCUUGAGUGUAAUAUAAUUUACUUGAGAACAGGGAUUAUUUUACUUCCAUAAUUGUAUCUCUAGUGCCUCCUAUGGCACCUGGUAGAUAGUAGGCAUUUAAUAAAUGCCGGUUGUCUCUCCACAAUUUUUGUAGCUCAAUAUAGAAUACUUUCUUUGAGGUGUUUGUCUCUGCUUGGUCUUGCCCUGGGUCCCCUGGGUUCUUUUUCUAACUUCUUUCUCCCAGAAUCUUUAAAGUUCCUAACAUUUGAUCUUAAGGAUCCCUUCUCUAGCAUCCUAGGAGAGAAUGUUUAAGAGAGCAGAGUCCUUGGGCCUGGGCAGUUCAGAUCUGAGUUGUCCAUCACUUCCCUGGUCAUCAGUGCAUUGGUGGAGAGAUUUGAUACUUUUUUACUUUUAGUAAGUAUAACAAAGUAAUGUUUCUUGUAUUUAAUAUUUAAUUACUUAUUAACCAGCCCAGCAUUACCAUUGAUGGCACGCAGCUUUCUAAUGCCAACACUUUCAAGUACCUGGGCAGCACCACUGCCAACGACAGGUCCCUAGACCAUGAGAUCAAUGCCAGGAUCCAAAAGGCCAGCCAGGCACUCGGGCAGCUGCUUUGCAAAGUCCUCCAACACAGAGGUGUAAGCACUGUGACGAAGCUCAAAGUGUAUAAUGCAGCGGUCCUCAGCUCGCUCCUGUAUGGUUGUGAGACACGGACACUGUACCGGAAGCACAUGAAACAGCUGGAGCAAUUCCACCAACGCUCUCUCCGGUCAAUCAUGAGGAUCUGAUGGCAGGACCAAAUCACCAACUAGGAAGUCCCCAACCGAGCCAACUCCACCAGCAUCGAAGUCAUGGUCCUCAAAGCCCAGCUACGAUGGUCUGGACAUGUCAUCCGCAUGGACCCACAGCGAAUACCAAGACAGGUAUUCUAUGGUGAACUGUCAGCUGGACUCAGGAAACAAGGCCGACCAAAGAAAAGAUUCAAGGAUCAGCUAAAGUCCAACUUGAAGUGGGCUGGCAUUACACCAAAGCAACUAGAACUCACUGCCUCUGACAGAAGCAGCUGGUGAACCCACAUUCACCAUGCUGUCACCACCUUUGAAGAUGAACGAUGUCGACGUCUUGCCGCUGCGCAUGAACGCCAACACCAGGCCACAACUGUACCUCCCGUAACAACUGGCGUCCCAGGCCCCAUGUGCCACAAACUCUGCGCCUCAGCCUUUGGACUCCAAAGCCACAUGAGGGUACACCGUAGAUGAAAACGCACAAAGACAAUUGUCAUUCUCGGUCACUGAGAGACUUACUACUACUACUUAUGGAGAGACAGUGAGAGGUUGUAGAUGAUGGAGUAUUGUUCUUAAUCCUUGGAGUCAGGAAGGCUUUAGUUUUUCUGACAAAAUACUAGCAAUAUGACUCUAGGCAAGUAACUUAACUGGUCUGUUACCAGGCAACUUGAUUAGACUGUAGGCUAGAGAGGAGACUAAUCUGCUUUGGUAGAAUGAGUUUUCCACACUGAGAAUUCCUUCUUUGAUCGGAGCUCAUUGGAGACAGCCACUUAAUAGAUAAGAAUAAAUCUAUGAAAGGAGGUGAGAGUAUGGAAAGAUAAUAAGAUAUCACAGAUCAGAAAUGAAAUGGAAUGUUUGUGAACUGGUUCCUCCCCCUUUGAUCUUUUUACAGCAAUAUACAACCUUUAGAGUUAAAAGUGAAUUUAAACACAUGCCUCUUUUUAAUAGAACACUAGUAAGUAAGGAAGGAAGCAUGUUUUUAUUAAGUGCCUUCCCUGCACCAGUCACUGGGCUGAGUUCUUUACAAAUAUUAUCUUAUUUGAACCUUUAGUGAUUGUAGAGAGGUGGAUACCAGGUUUUCUUGGUAAAGAGUUAGAGAAGGCCUUAAACUGUUGUGUUUGAUAUAUGCUGCCUAAAGAAAUAAACACCUGAUGGCAGUAACCAAUGUUAAAGGCAAAGUGUGAGCUGGAACAGAGCUGCCUUUUUAGGAAUUUGUGAGAAGACUACACAGAUGUUAAGAAGAGAAAUAUAUAAGGAAGAUGGCAGAAAUUCCUACUCGAGAAUAUAUUAAAUAAAUACAAACAAUAUAGUCUAAGUCAGUGAUGGUGAACCUUUUGAAGACUGAGUGCCCAAACUGCAACCCUCAUGCUGUAUGUGAGCUCCAGCCUUACCCCAGACAGAGGAGGAAGUGCUCCCAUUGGGCUGCUGGACAGAGAAGGUGGUAAUGAGAGAAAUGUCACCAGGAGCUCCCGAAGAGGGGGAGGUGAGCAGCUCCUUCCAGCACACCUGCCAUAGGUUUGCCAACACUGGCCUAAGUUGUAUACAUCACGGCUAAAGAAGAUUGGUUAUUAUAAUAGCCUCCCAAUUUAUCUCCCUGAAUCUACCCUUUCUCUUUCCCAGUCUAUCAUCUAUAGUCUGCCAAAUUGAUUUUAACUAAAGCAUAGUUUUGAUAAUCCCUUGCUCAAUAAACUUUAGUUCCUCACUGUGAUAUCCAUAAGUAAGUACAAAAAUUCCUUUGUCAUUUAAAGCCUUUCUCAAUCUUGCUGUAGCCUGUUUCCAGACUUAUUGUGCAUUACACCCCCUCACAAACUCUGUGUUCCAACUUACCUGCUGUUCUUUCUUCUGUACAAGAAAUUUCAUUUUACAAGUCCCUGGCUUUCAUAGGCUGUCUUCCAUGCCUGGAAUACUCUCUUUCUUCAUCUCUUUCAGUAGGAACCUAUAGCUUCCAUCCAGGGUGCACCUCAAUUGCCAUCUUCUACAAGAAGUCUUUCUUGGUUCCCUCAGUAGUUGGGACUUGAUCUUGAAAUUAUUUUGCAUUCACUCAUAUGGGUUGAAUCUUCCCUAGUAGAAUGUAAGCUCCUUUAGGGUGGAGAUUGUCUCAUUUUUGUAUUUGUAUCCCAGGAGUCUGGCUUUUGGAGGUGCUUCAAAGUGAGCUCUGAUUUUAUGUUUUGAUAUUCUUUAAGAUAGUUCAUAUUGAAACUUACCAGUGCUUUCCCAGUUGGAGUCUAUGCAGCUUUAGAAGAUCUAGAGGAAAUAUUAGUACACUGGGUGAAUAAUUUCUUAAUAAUAAACACGAAUAAGAGAAUCAUCCUUUUCUAUGCCUACUUUUUAUCAAAAUCAUGGAGUAUUAAAAUUGAAAUGUUUAUGUAGUUUAGAGGGUCUUGAGGUCUUGGUAAAAUUUCUAUACUCCCAUUCAGCAAUUAUUCAUGGUAGUCUUUUUGCAAAUUCUUAUAAGUAUCUUCGAGUAGAACUUACACAGAAAUGAAAUAUAAAUGCACUUCAAAGCAUUUUUGCUCUCAUAGUAACUUUUUCAUCUGUUUUCCAGUUAUUGAAUACUGAUGAUAUCAUUGUUGUUCUGGUAGUCCAAAAUGCUUGUUUAAAAAACUUAAAAAGAGCUCUUCUCAUUCAGUGUUUGACUAUGUCUCUAAAAGCUCUCAAAGUUAUUUGCCAAACACUUCCUUGUGGAAGUAGUAGGAUAGAGCUAUUCAAGAAAUACGGGGAUUAGUAGUUUGUUCUGUCUGUGCUAUCUGCUUCCCUCCUCAUUGAUCUAGAGUUGAAAGGGACUUCAGAAGCUAUCUAGGCCACAACUGCCUCUUUUCAGUUGAGAAAACUGAGGUUCAUGAAGAUUGUAAAUUGCCAAAAUUUCACAGGUAGGUAGUUUCAGAGGCAAUAUUUGAAUGUAGGUCUUCUGACCACAGAGCUCGAAAAAUGGCAGAGUUUGCAAGAACAGAAUUUGCAGACAGAAGAAUUGAUGUAUUAUUGGCAGAGGCUGCUUGUUUUUUGCUCUUUUUUUUGUACCACCUGCUGUGUGUAAGCUAGCUUUGGGUUUAUGGAUGUUUAUUGUAGUCAGAAGGAUCAGAGAUCUAUCUGCUGGCAAACUUUUAUGAUGAUUUGAUGCAGUUUAUUUUAGUAGACAUUAAGUUCUCACUCUGUGUCAGGAACUCUGUUAGAGCCUGGGAAUAAAGAAAACAAAACAGCCUUUGCCCUUGGUAAGGUUAUAUUUUAUUGGGGGAGGAGAAGAACAAAAUUGUGGUGGGGGGCACUAACCUCUUGGGAUUAGGAUUGAUCUUUUGUUUGAGGGGGCAAAUGAAUUGUGCUUUAAAGAAAGCUUUGAAUUCUAAAGAGAGAGGACACUUCCAUAUAUGGGGGGCAGCUUGUGCAAAGGCAUGAGGGCAGGAAAUGGAAUGUUGUGUACUUAAAACAUCAGGCAGGAAAGUUUGAUUGGAAAAUAAGAGUUCCUGAAAGACAUUAAUGUCCAUUAAAUCUGGAAAGGGAGGAGCCAGAUUGGGAAGGACUUUAAAAGCUAAAAAGGGGAGUUAGUAUUUUUUUUCUCUUUGAGGAAGUGGGAGGGUAAGAGACAUGCUUAAAAAUUGCUUUAGGAGUAUCAUUUGGCAGCUGUAUUUAUGUAUUUAUUAGGAUGGAUUGAAGGGAGAGGCACUAGGUAGGCACUUGCAAUAGUCCAGAAAAAAGUUGAUAUUGGGUCUAAGUUUGAAUGAUAGUUGUAUGAGUGGAGAGAUAUGUUAUGGAGGUAGAAUUGACAGCAGGAGGCAACUGCUUAGAUAGAUAAGGGGAGAAAGAAGAAUUGAGAAUGAUUCCAUGUUUAUGAACUUGAGUGACUAGAAGGAUGGGUGAAUACCUUAAACAGAAAGAGGGAAGUUAAGAGGAUGGUGUGGGAUAGAGAGUGACUUUAGGAAAAAAGAGAAUGAGUUGAGUUUUAAGACUUGUGACUUUGAAAUACUUGUCAGUUACAUCUGGUUGGAGAUGUCUUGGAGGCAGGUAGUUGGUGAUGUGGGACUAGAAUUCAGAAAAGAGAAUAGGACUAGAUAUUUAAUUUUUAGAGUCAUUUGUGUGGAAGUAGUCAUUAAACCCAUGAGAGCUGAUGAAAUCAUUAAGAAAGAUUUGGAGUUAAAGAGCCAGAAUGAUUAUGUAAUCAUGAUGCCCUAUGGAUUUUCUUUGAUUCUUUAUUUUCCUGCAUAUAGAUGAGAAAUACAAAAUAUAUAUAUAAAUGAGAUUUGGUUUCCCAGUAUAUACUGGGAACACUGAACAGGUUUCAAUUAAUAACCUAUUUCAUUUUGAAGCAUCAUAGUUUAAAGGACCUACAGAGAAUAUUGAGAGCAAAAAGGAUUAUUGACUGCUUGACUUAAGUAGAAAUUUUUAGCUCUUAUCCUAGGAAAAUAUUUUAUCUAAACCUACCUAUUUAGAGAUUCAGGUUAUACAGAUCAUUAAGCUCUUCAGUCUUUUCAACUUUACAAAAGAUAUGGAAUUGGAAAGAUUCUGCACUUGGCAUCAGUGAGUUCAUAGUGGGGAAGUUGUUGGAUUUUAUAGCUUAUAAAGUUAUCUCAUCCAGCAUUUCAUUUUACAGAUUUGGAAAUGGAAACCCAAAAGUUGAAGUGAUUUGACCAGAGUCUCAAAAUAUUGGGACCUACUCUCUAAUUCCAGUCUAUUAAGCUAUAGUGGCCUCUCUGUUUAGAUGUGACACUUUUUUCUAGUAUUGAGGUUAUAUAUCUAAAUAUGACAUUUUAUUUCCUUAGAAGAAAAUAUUGUUUCUCUAUAGCAUCUAUUAUCUGUGAACCUAUAUGUUUGUUUUGAAAUCUGUUGCAGAAAUGUGCUUUUCUUUUAAUGAACCAAGCAGAAUAAAUUCAAUUUUAACUUCAAUGGUUUUGUUGGGAAAUUUUUCUGUACCUCCUGGAUGUAAUUUAAGAUACCCUGGAAUGAUAUAAAACCAAGGUUGUGAAUUCCUGAUAGAGAAAAUGUUUACCAUUGAGAAUAUAGUAUGGAAUAAAUAUAUAGCACUUAUAGUUAAUAUGAUGUAAAUAAAGAACCUUUGCUUUACAAAAUAUAUUGAAUUCUCUAAUAAAGAGAUUAUAAAAUUUCUAUCAAUUGUGAGACAUGAUAUAUUACUAUCUAGUGAAUCCUAUUAUCUCACUAUUAGGAAGUUUAUUAAGAACUACAUAAUAUUACAGUAAUUUUUAUAGGAGUUUAGUUUUAUAGGAAUUAAUUGGUUUUUAUACUCUUCUACCAUAUCUUUACUUUUAUCUCAUUGCCCAAUUUUAGUUUUCUCUGUGGCUUUCCCUUUCAUCUGUUCUCUCCCUUUUUCAUUAUUUGUCUUCUAAUCUGUUUAGGACCUAACAGGUCUUCCCUGUGGGCACCCACUUAAAUUGUCUAAUUUAUUUGACCCUUCUUUUUACCUUCCUUAUUCCCUCAUCUUUCUAUUUUUUGCAAAAUGGUAAUUGUAGUUGUAGCACUUUGGGCAGUUAGUAAAUAUUGACUCAUGAUUUACUAUACAUUUAAAAAUUUUUAAUUCUUUCUGUGUACAGAUGGCCCCAUCACAGUGAUAAAUGUUCCCUAGAUUUUCUCCCUUUAAGGUUACAGUGUAAUUCAUUGAAAUUAUUAGUGAAAUUUGCCAAUGAAUAUAUAUUCUUAAUAGGGAGAACUUGCUUCGGAGGAUCGUUCCUAGAGUAGGUUAGAAUGAUUUGGGUGAAGUCACAUAUACUCUGGCAUGGAGCAGAUGUCUUCCAGAAGAUCUUUCUAGAUGAAGAAUUCUAUAUUUGACCAUGUUUAGGGUAGGAUGUGAAUAUUCUAGUGACAGCUAGACUUUGCUUGGCAUGUUUUAAGUUGACAUUUUUCUCUAGAGUUAACAAAUGCAUUUCUUGAAAUGAUUAUUUGGGGAAAAUUUUUUAUUGUAAAAUGUAAAAGUUCAGCAGUUUCAAAGUUAGAAAAUAAUACAAUAUCUGAAAAAGCCUGCCUCUGUUUUGUUGAAUUUCAAUUUUGUGAAUCCCAUGUCUACUCUUAAUUUUCUAGCAUUACUUGAAAUUUCGCAUUAGACAUAUUAUAAAUUGGCACACAGAAGAAUAUGAAUGAUACCCCUUCUGAGGCAAGUUGAGUUUUGAAAAAUUAGAAAUGGCUUUGUCUAUUAUUGUCUUGGAAAAAUUAAUCCGAGCUUUUAAAAUAAAACAUCUAUAUAGAUAGUCAAGUUAUGUGAAAUCUCUACAAUCUAAGCUAACCUUUAAGUUUAAGCAGUUUAGACAAAAAAAAUGGAAUAGGUGUGAGGGAAAAUGAUCUUUUUCCAUUGUAGGUUCUUUUUUUUCCCCAUCUCCAUUUCCAUUCUUUGAUUCAGUUGGAGUAGUAUAUGAAGUUAUUGACUCUUAGAUGUCUGACCUGAUUUAUUUAGGAUUCUCUUCCAACAAUGGAGCUCAAAACUCACCCAUGAUAUAUCUGUUCAGCUUUUGUCCAUAUCAUUUCACCCAGCAGGUUGGAAUUCUUCACUUUGUCCACACAUUGGGAGGAUAUCAUUAUGACUGACUAUUCAGCUGUCAUCCAUCACCCUUACUAGUAACAGUAGAACAGAUGAGAAUGUUUUUUGCCCAUCAGAAUAAAAAAAGUUCUACUGUAUACUUCCAAUGUAUUUUGAGUGGUUUAAUUUAAAUUACAAGUAAUAAGGUGUGGAGAGGCCUGGAUAUUUGUGACUCACUGACUUUUUAUGAUAUUUUUGGCAAAUUAUUUAAUCUUGAAGCUUCUUUGGUCCAUUGGGUGAAGGAGGAAAGGUGAGGUAGUAGACAUAUUGUAGUCUUUUUUAUAUUAUUCUACUCUUAGUGACCAUCAACAAAAACUUUAAACACAUAGGCAAGAAUAAGAAAAAACCCUCAGUAACUUUUAAAAGUUAAUUGAAAUAAGAAAUCAAUAUAGAAAGUAACCUUCUCCUUCCACCUAUAACUUGGGAAUUUUUAGCUAAAAGAAGACAAAGUUGCCCCAAGGACCUGAUAGUCUUGGCUUCCCUGACCCAAGCUUCCUGGUCAUGCAGGGACAUAAAAAGUUCCAACUUUGUGGAGGUUGGACCUCUCAGCCUUGAUGGAUGCCUAAGACCACUCCUCACCUUACCCUGCCUAAACUCAUUUUAUGUUGGAAACACUGGGCCCUUAUCCAAAGAAUCUGAGCUAAAUCUCCUUUUGUAAAUGUUCAAUGACUUUUUAAUGCCUUGUUUCAUCCUAACAUUGAAUCUCAAUUAAGAGGGUGCUGGCUUUAGAGCUCAGCCUCCAACAUUAAAUGCCCUGUUAUGUCUCCAGAGGAGGUUGACAUCUUGACUGACUUGGAAAUGUUAGGAGGCAGGGAAAGACAGUGAGAGGAGAAAGAAAUUGGAUUUUCAGGUUAGCUGAAUUUUUCAUUCAAGGGUCCAGAAAUCCUAAAAAAAAAUUAUAAAGUGGGAAUUCUUGAUCUUUUUUGGAGUAAUGGACCACUUGGCCGAAUGGGAAAACAUGAACUCCUCAGAAUGUUUCUCAAUUCAUAAUAAAAUACAUAGAAUUACAAAGGAAACUAAUUAUAUUGAAAGUUAUCUCAGUAGUUAAAAAAAAGUUUAUGGGCCCCCACAUUAAGUACUUCCUGUUUAAAUAUAUACUUUACUAGUGUAGUAGGAAUAAUAAAUUGUAGUGAUCUUAAUUUAAUCCUUCUUUGAGGCUCUUGUAAUACCAGGGCAUGCUUUCAUGGAAAAUGUACUAAACUUGAAAUUUGGUUUCUGGUCUUACUCUGUGGCCUGUGCCAUGAUCAGUUACACAGUAAGCAAUAAUACGGUUCUAAACCCAAUUCUUCUUAUGAAAAUUCAUUGCUCUUUAUACCUAUCACAAAUUUAUUCUCUUUGGACCUGUUUUUUUUUUUACACCAUCAAUGAAAUGGGACAUGUUAAGACACCUAUUUGUUUUAUGGCUAAUAAUGUUAACCUUGUUUAAUUUUAGUUAGCUAUGUCCACUGUGAGUCAUUCCCUCAGGAAGGGUGGUGGUAGUAAUUAGAACCUGCUGGAGCAAACACCAUUACAACAUGCACUCAUUCUGUAAAAGGCAAAGAAGGGAGGGCAUUGUAUUGUUGCUUGUGACUUUGCUCAAUGGUACUACAAAGAAAUCCUUACUACAGAAAAGACAACCUAGCAAGGGACUGACUGCUCUGAAGAUGGAGACAGAUUCAUACCAAAUGAAUUCAAGGCGUUACUGUUAACUAUAAAAAAUCAUACAGUUGUGUGAUGUGGUGUUUAAUCAGUGUAAUGUGACUUUUUAAAAUUUCAUCUUAGCUGCUUUAAGUAUUUUAUUUUAAGAGCUCUUAUACGUACUAAAUAGAACUUUUGAUUUUUGUUUUCUAUUUGGUAUUUAGUUUGCAUUUCAUGAAUAAAUUGGAUAAUAUAUAUUAGUUAUAAGGAACUACAAUCUAAUGUUUUGAGAGAGGGAAUGGGGUCUUCCAGGAAAGCUUUAAUGGAGAUUUAAGUCAGGAAAAAAGGUUUCAAUACCACCUCUAAGGAAGUUAUUUAACUUCUCUAAGCCUCAGUUUUCUAAUCUAUAAAAUGAGGAGGAUUGGAUGAGGUGGCCUCUAAGGCCUAGCACAAGUGCCAUCUCCAUGAAAAAAGCAGAAUUUGAAUAAGCAGAGGAGGGGCAUACCUAGUAAGGUGGGCAGUAUAUCUUGUUGAUUCCUUUCACUAGAAGCUUCAGUAAAACCCCCCAUUUUCUCUAGGAUAAAAUACAAACUCAUCUGGUUAACAUUUAAUACCUUUAACCAUUUGAUGACUGAUUAUUAUUAUUUCCUCUUAUGCACUUUCUAUUUUAAGUAUUCUCUUUGGACCUGUUUUUCUCACCGUCCUUGCCUUUAUCUCCCUUACCUGACAUACUUUCCCUACUAGCCUCCCUACUAGAUUUUGGAAUCUCUAAUUUCCUUCAGGGAGGUCAAAUACCACUUCUUACUUGGAGGCUUUUCCUGAUCCUUCUAGUUGGUGGUCUUGCACCAUCCCCUAAUCUCACAAUUGCUUGGUUUGUAUUUUGUUUCUCCCUCAGUUGCAUAUAAGCUCCUUAAGAUCAGGCACUGUUUUGUGUUGCCAGCUCCAAGCGCUGUCUUGGAAUUAAAUUGAAUUGGGUCAUAAUAAAAAAGGUUAAUAUUUCCAAACAAAGAAAAGGAGUAUAGAUAGAUAGGUAGGAUGGGAGCAAUUUAUACAAAACCCUACUUUAAAACUUAAUGCUUUGGGGGUAAUUUUGAUGAAAGCAGUGUUUUAGGAAAGUAUGGUAGUACUAUGAAGAAUGAAUUACUGUGUAGGAGAGGAAACCAUCUAGGUAUCUCUUCUAAUGUUCUAGGCAUGAGGUGAUGAGGGCUUGAUAGUAUGAGAAUAUUGAAGUGAUAGUUAUGAAAGACAUUUUAAGGGCAUUGAACACAAUAAGGUCUUGUGUGAUCUUGGCUGUUUCCUUGGUACUCAAACUCCUUUCUAUUUUUGCUAAAUACAUUAAUAUAUAUUUUAUAAAAAGGUAACUUAAAUUUGAUGAAAGAACAUGUGUGAGUGUGUGAAUUUCUCACUUGUGUUCUUACAAAGUUCUGUUGCUCUUGUAAUAGAAGUCUUGUUUCUUUUCAGCCCACUUGUGAUGAAUUUCUUGAUUUCUGAUUCUCAAAUUAUAAGGAAUUUGAACAUUGAUCAUUAACAAUUUGCAUUUUCUUAAAAAAAUUAUCCGUCCUCUGUAGAGGAAUAUGCUACUUUGUAACCAUGAAAAUGUGGUUUGCCAAGACUGAAUUGCCAAAACUGUAAAGGUUUCGGCCAAACUGUAGAGAUAAUUUUUAGUGUCUUGAUUUUAAAUCUAAAAUUAAGUGGUUGCUAUGGGAAAAUUCCCAAAUAUGAAAAUAUCCAAGUCAGCUGGGUUUUAUGGAGAAGAUUUUAACUAAUACAAAUGAAGGAAUUAAGGGAAGGAGAGAGAGAGAGAGAGAGAGAGAGAAUGAAUAGUAGAAUAUAGUAGAGCCUACUAUACUACUAUAGUAAUAUAGUACUAUGAAUAGUAUAUAGUAGUAUAGAAUAGUAUUCUACUAUUUCUACUACUAUAGUGAGCCUAAGAGAGAUCAAGUCAGUCUUUAUCACUCACCACAAGAUUGUCUCAAGCAAGCUCCAGCCCUCCACUGAACUCCUGAACUGAGUUCAGAGUUCCAACUGAAUUCAAUUGACCUCCUUUUAAAGAGAAUUUUCUCUUAUGUCACCUCCUCUAAAUUUUCACAUCUAUCAAUCAUAGUAGACGCUUUUUCCCAGGCCUGCCCGUUCUUAGUUCUCACCACUCUUUAGUUCUCACCUUCUCUGGGUAGAUUAUAUCCUCUUAGUACUUCACACCUCUUUUGUUAAGCUUGCCUUUUGUAAGUUGCUUGACCUUUUAGGUAAUAAUUUAACCUUUAUAGGUACUGAGCACUUUUUUGUAUUAGAUCUAAAAAUAGACCUAGCUUAAGGUUUUAGCUUCACUAUGAGUUAGGGACUUUUCAUUGUUCAAUCAGGAGUUUUCAACUUUAUCUUCCCCUAAGGCACUGUCUGAGUAAGUUCUCAAUACAUUCCUGACCAAGUACCUCCAUUGUUAAAAAUGAGGAAUAGCUUAAUCAAAUCUUCUGAAGUAGAGUCUGACCAGUUUUAAGAUUCACAACUUAUUGCAUAUAGGCAGCUAUAUGGUAGAGUAGAAAGACUGCUGGGCCUGGAAUUAGGAAGACCUGUAUCCUGCCUCAGAUACUUCUUGGCUAUGUAAAACAUUUAAUCUCCAUCUCUCUCAGUUUCCUCAUUUAUAAAAUGGGGAUAAUGAUUAUAUCUACCUCCCAGAGCUCUUUUAUGAAUCAAAUUUAAUAAUACUUGUAAAUCACUGUUAACUUUAAAGCACUAGAAUAAAUGCAAUAUAGUAUUAUAUAUAUCCCCUUUUUUUUUCAGAUGUCCAAAAUGUACAUAUUUAUUACAAAUACUAUCCCCAAUCUUUUUUUUUUAUUGGUGGUUUUUUGUUGUUGUUGUUGUGCAUAAUCAUUAAAAAAUAAUCAAACUAAUUGAUGCAAUUGUUUGGUAGAAAUUUUAUAAUCCUUAAUUGAUAAAUAUAUUGUAUCUUCUACCAAUUUUUAAUGACUUUAUUUUAUUUUAUUUUAUUUUAUUUUAUUUUUUUUUUUUAAACCCUUACCUUCUGUCUUGGAAUUAAUACUGUGUAUUGGCUCCAAGGCAGAAGAGCAGAAAAGGCUAGGCAAUUGGGAUUAAGUGACUUGCCCAGGGUCACAUAGCUAGGAAGUGUCUGAGGCCAGAUUUGAACCUAGGACCUUCCUAUCUCUAGGCCUGGCUCUCAACUCACUGAACCACCCAGCUGCUCCUUUUAGUGACUUAAAAAAAAUUGGAUAAUCAAAAUUAGAAUUCAAUAUAGGAUACAAGGCAUUACACUAAAACAUUUUUCUUUCCCCAUACAGUUCUUCAGUUUUCACAAUAAUAUUUAUAUUCUUUGGUUCAGUUAAUUAAAAUUUAAUUUAUUUAAUCAUUUUAUCAAAUUUUAUUGAACCAUUGAUUUCACAAGUCAAAAAAUAAGAACCAAGAAAAUCUAACAAUUUCAUAAUUAGAUUUGGUUUCUGAGUUCUCACUUCUGUUUUUCCUAAGCAUCACCCUCUUCCAAGUUCCAGUUUUCAUAUGUAUUUUCUUUUGUACACUUUAAAAUUUAAAAGGGAAAUUCUCUCCUAGUCCUUAAAAAAAUUCUUUUAUAUUCUUUACUAUCUUUAUUCACUUCAAUUUUGUUAUGAAGUUACUUAUUCUUUGAAGUUCCCACUGGUAUUUUGAUUGAAAAUGCAUAAAAUAUAUAGCUUAAUUAGAAAAGUAUUGCAAUUUGUUGGAUCUGAUCAUGUAAAAGGACUUCCUUUAAAUUUGUUGAGUUCAUAGAUUUCUUUUAAGUUGUCUUGUGCAUAUUCAGCCCAAAUAUUUGGCACAUUUUGUUAGUAUUUUAAGUGAUAAUUCUAUUUCAAUAGAGUAAGAUUGCAAGGUAAGGAACUCAACUAGGAUUCAUUAAGAGGAUGUUAUUGUCAGGCAUUUUUUAUUACAGUCUCUUUGCCUGUUGCCUUUUAUUUAUCCUCUUUAAGACUAAAAAUCACUAUUUUCUCUUUUGACUUUCCUUAAUCCUUACUUGGUACUUUGAAUUUGUUUUCUUUUGUGUAAACAAAAUAAGUUCUUCACAGUGAACAUAGUUAUUUUGGGAUCCUUCUGGGAUAUUAGAGAAAACCUAGUUCUUACUUACAUGAACAGUUUUAUAAAAAAAAAAAAUGUCCCUCCUGUUUCUGAUCAUCUCUUGAUCAGAAUGCUUUCUGGGAACAAAUCAAACUUUUCUGCUUGACAUUUGUAGCCCUUCACAACUUAGAUCCAAUUUCCUAUUCCAAACUUAUAAUGCAUAUGUUACACUCCUUUCUGUCACUCUACAGGCCAGCUAAAUUGGCUUUCUUAAUAUUUCUCACACAUGUCAUUUCAUCUACUUCUGUGUAUUUUGCACAAUAUGACUCUCCAUCCUCAUUUCUGCCUUCUGAAACCCAUAUCUCUCCUAAAGGCUCAGUUCAAGGGCCAUUUGAUUUCUCCAGUUGGUUGGUGUGUCUCCCCUUUUCCCCCCAUUCAGGAGACUGACACUUCUAAUUUUGUAUCCAAAGAGCAGUGUAGUAAGUACAUAGUAAGCUCUUACUAGAGAUUAGGAUAUAUAUGCCUGAAAAUAUAUGAGAGACAUAGCAUCAUUUAAUUAAAUGUUCUUGGAAUAAACAGGCAGUUGACUGGAUCAUGGAUGAACCAAAGGAAUGUAGUAUUGGCCUGAGCUUUAAAGUGGGAUAGAAACAGAGUACUGGGGACAUCUGGUAUAGGCUGAUGACUAGAAUCUUUUAUUGAGAGUAAAAUAGACAGGAGACAAAGAAGAAUAUGAUGCAACAAUUCUAUAAACAUUUAUUAAGGGCCUACUGUGUACCAGGAUCAAUGCCAAGUGCUGGGGAUACAAAUAAGAAAAAGAAAGACAAUUCUUAUGUCUUAUCCCAGUACCCAGUUUGCUUUUACCACAACUACUUAAUGGAAAAGCAAUAUGUGAUCAUGAAAAGAACAUGAGGUUUGGAGUCAAAAGACCUAAGGUUGAGUCCCUGCUUUACUGCCCAAUUGACUGGGCAAAUCACUUAACCAUUGAGCCUUAGUUUUCUCAUCUAUAUAGAAAAGGGCAAUAAUAAUAUUUCUUCUAACUACUUUAAAGAAUUGAAAAAAUACUUUAAAACUCCUUAAAAGUGAUGUGAAUUGUUAUUUGUUCAGAUUCAUUUGUCACAAUCAGACUGCAAAAACAGAAAUUUAUGACUGGGGGAAAAUGGGCUAGUUACAUAGGGAAAGUGAGGAAUUACUGAUAGAUAAGUCUGCAUGCUUACUUAGUAUGCAUACACUUACAAGGGGACAGAAGUUUCCAACUAUGAUGAAUUUGGAAGGAUACAGGUUAGAGUUGCACAGGAUAUGUACAAUCAUAGAUGAGUCGUUAUAUGCAUUGUCAUUGGAAGUAAUAACACAUGUCAGGAGACCACAGGAUUCUUGAGAACAUAUUAAAGAAUUCUGUCUUUAUUACAUCUGAAACAAAUUGCCACUGUCCACUUCAAGAGUCAUGGGUUGAUAGGGGAAUCACUAGAUCAAGAAGCCAAAUAAAAUGGUGAGUGUCAUAAGUAAGUGAAUAUUUUUAUGCACAUGAUUAUAGAAGUAACUCUCCAAUAUUAAAGGCAAUAAUCUAGGAAGCUCUCCUUCUCUAUGAUGUAAUAAAUAUUUAUAUAGUGCCUAUGAUGUACCAUUUAGAGAUACUACUGAAGUAAUAGUCAAAGCAAAACAUAAUACGACUUCUUUUGGAGUGUCCCUUGAGGACAACUUUUUUUUUUUAACCCUUACCUUCUGUCUUGGAGUCAAUAUUGUGUAUUGGCUCCAAGGCAGAAGAGUGGUAAGGGCUAGGCAAUGGGGGUCAAGUGACUUGCCCAGGGUCACACAGCUGGGAAGUGUCUGAGGCCAGAUUUGAACCUAGGACCUCCAGUCUCUAGGCCUGGCUCUCAAUCCACUGAGCUACCCAGCUGCCCCCGACAAACUUUUUAAAAACAAAAUAAUCACUUGUUGAAUUGUAGGUGUAUAAUUUAACCAUUCCUGAAAAUAGAUGAUGAUCUAGAAUAAAAAAGCUUCCAUUUGUGUGCUACUGAUUUUGUAUUGAUACAUUUCAGAAGUGCUAUGUAUGAUUCCUUGUCUGUUAGAAUUCUUGAUUUUGAGAAGCUGUAAGUAUAAAUGUAAUUUAACUUAGGAAAAAUGCAACCUUGCAGAUUUUUAUGUAAAUAUAAAUAUCCUAUAAAGCUGUAGAUAUCCUACUUCACAAUAGUUCUAGGCAUAGGAUAUGGUAUGAACAAAGGAACAAAGAUGAGAAAGGGCAAACUAAGAUUGGAAAAUGGUAAAAAUAAGUCCAGAUUAACUGAAAUAUGUACGGAGUAGGUAGUUUGAGGUAAAAUCAGGGGAGAUAAGUAGUAUUGAGAUUAUGGACAAUCCUGGUUGUUGAACUAGGAAGUUUAUUGCUUAUUUGUUAGGCAGUGAGCAGAAUUGGAGCUUUACAUUCAGAAGAUUAUCAAGAAAAUAGUAUGCAGGAAGGAUUAGAGCAGGAAACACUUUUAAUAGUGAAAGGUAUAAGAGAUAGUUAUUUAAAUAGGAUUGUUUUAGAAGUAGAAGCUCGAUCUAUGGGUUGAAUUAAUAGGAUGGAUUGACUUUUUUUUUUUUACUAACUAUGAGACAAAGAAGAGAGAGGAACCCAGUAAGAUUGCCAUUUUGAGCCUUGAUAGUAUCAAUAAAAAUAGAAGCAGACUUUGGGGAGAAAAUCACAGACUGUGCUUGUUUUUGUGUAAUUUUGAAAUGAUGCUGUGUUUUCUUUUUGAGGUGAUAGGAACAAUGAAUUUAUUUGUAUUUCCUUGUCCCCACACCUCCCUAGAAUACAAGAUAAACUCCACAGGUAGAAGAACUAUUUUUAUAUUUCUAGAAUCUAGCAUUGUGCCUGGAACAUAGUCAGCAACUAAUAAAUGCUUAUUGAAUUAAAUUGCUGAAUUGGUAUUGAGUAAUGCUUGCCACAUAGAAGAUGCAUUUAAUUGGUUAAGUAGGUAGAGGGGAAAGAUAGCUAACCAAUGGUUAGAAAUUUGGAUUUAAAACUGAAAAAAUUACCAUGCAAUCAGGAAACUUGCUGCUCACUUAAAAGUUAGUUGUGGGUUUUAGAAUGGAUCAAUGAAUUUGAUGACCGACAAAUUCCAAAUCAGUAUGCAUGUGUAUUUUGGUAAUGUUUUGCCACAUUUAUUUUUGAGAAAUCAGGAGGAACUGAAUAUCUCAGAUCUAUGCAGAUUUUUGGCCCAAAGCACUUUAAAGUUAGAAAAACUUAGGGACCAUCCAGUCUUCAGUUGUAUAAUUUUCUUUUAUAUACAUUCUCAGAAUUUCUUUGCUGCAUUUUAUUUUGAAUUUUUUUAUUCCUUUUCCACUAUAAAUAAACCCUAGAAAUUCUAACCCCAAAAGUGAUAGAUUGGAUAAUAUAAGCUUCUUGAGGGCAGGUAUUGGUUUUGUUUUGUCUUGGUAACUGUUUUGUCAUUGUUGUUCUUCUUUCCAAGUCUUGGAGAAGGAAAAUUUCCCAAGGUCACAUAAGCCAGGAUUUGGAUCUAAGUCUUUUCUGACUCCCAAGUCCAGCAUUCUUUCUAUUAGACUAUGGUGACCUUGGGCAAGUCACUUAAGCUUAUUUGCUUUAGACUUUUUAUUUGUAAAAUGAAAGUAAUUUUUAAAAACCCACUAUUUCUUAGGGUUUUUGUGAGGACUAAAUGAUAUAAUUGUAAAGCCCUUUGAAAACUGUAACACAUUAUAUUAAGGCUAGCAUUAUUAUUAUUACUAUUUCUUCUUCCUCCUCCUUUUCCUUCACCCCUGAAUGUAGGGAAUUGAGAAGACCAAGAGACCAGGAAGAUCCCAGGAAGAUUAGUACCUACAAUUAGGGAUUAGUAGAGUGAAGGUUUUUAAAGUAGUGAAAGCCUUGGAUUGGAUCCAAGGAGGAAUCUGAUACCUUCAGUUGGUAACUAACUUCUCUGAAUUUGGAUGCUCUUAGGCCAUUGAUGGCAAACCUUUUAGAGGGGCAGGUGAGAAAUGUGAGAAAUGUCCUCAGGUGCAUGUGGAGAGGGAGAGUGAGAGGGAUGUAGCCUGGCCCCUCAUCCCUAUGGCUUUCUAGUAGUAAACUGGCAAACUCUGUGCUGGGGUGAUGGCUUUGCAUGCCCACAGAGGGGAGUUUGAGUGCCUCCUCUGACACAUGUGCUAUAAGUUUGCCACCACAGCUCUAGGCAGUUAGAUCUUUCAUAAUGGGGAAGGUGAAUUUAGUUUGGGAUAUGGUGGUGUAGUAUAAUGCAACAUAUAUAACAUCAGUAUCAAACAUUAUCCUUGGAAAUAUGGGACAAGAGUCCUGGGGGAUAUACAUAUCUAACACAUAUACACAUAUAUAAAAAUAUAAAUUUGGAAAUUACUUGCAUAGAGCUGGUUAUUGAAAGUAGAAUAGUAAAAAUCUCCAAGGAGAAAGGAGAGAGAACAGAUGGUCAAGAACAGAGCCUUUGGAGAUGCUCAGAUUGAAAGGGGCAUGGGAGGAGCAGAAGGAAGAAAGUUGAAUCUUGAUUUGGAAGGUGCCUCUCAGAGACCAGCUAAUCCAACUUAUACUCGAUCAAGAAUCCCCUUUAUAAUAUUCCUGACAAUUGGAGUCAUUUAGGCCUUUGCCUGAAUCCUUCUAGUGAGGAGAAACCUGAUAUUUCCCCAGAGUUCAUAAUUAUAAUAAUAAGGAAAAAAUAAUUUACAUCAAAUUUAAAUUUUCUACUUUGUAGCUUAGCAUCUGGUCUAUUCCACUAGUGGCCUAUCAGUUUCUUGCCAAGAAUAUGACUAAUGCAGAAUACAGGGGUAUUAUUACCUCCGUAGUGCUAGCAAUUAUGGUUCCUCAAUUUACCUUGUUUUGAUUUUUGUUGGGAUUUUUUUGGCUUCCAUAGCAUAUUGUUCAUUCAUAUUCUUCAAAUCUGCAAAAAUCCCUGGUUUUUCAGAUGAAUUGUUAUCUACUUCCUUCUUCCCUAUCUUCUUGUGAAGUUAAUUUUUUUAUUCCAUUCAUAAGACUUUACACUCAUCUCUCUUAACCAUACCUUCAAAUUUCAUGUCAUCUUCAGAUUUGAUAGGUGUGAACACUGCCUUUGUCUUUAUCCAGGAUCUUGAUAAAAUUAAACAGUUUAGAGCCAUUAAUGAUACUAUUGUAUGUGUAUAGCCAUUCAGCCUUUUUAUCUAGUUGUAUUAUGUAUUGUAUGUAUUUAUCUAGUUGUAUUGUAUUAUGGUAUUCUGUCUCCCCAUACAUACAAGAAUAAUAUGAGAUACUUUGUCAUCUACUUUGUUAAACUCUUUAAGUUAAUUGUAUCUUUAAUAUCUCUUUAUCUGUCACUCUAACACUGUUAGAAAAGGAAAUGGAUUCAUAAUAUCUUUUAAAUAUAUUGAUAGAAAUCUAACACACAUUAAUAUAUACCUAGAAGCUAAUUCCUUUUUGAUAGAGGGAUUUUGACCAUUAGAAACUAGAAUAAUUAUUAAGUUGUUACACUGAUAAUCACCACUUUUCUAAAUAGGUAAACUAGUCACUUAGAUAUUUUAUAUUAUUUUUCAGGCAAAAAUCAAAUGAAUGUAGACAACCAAAGAUUUUUCUUAAAGCCUGAGGAAAGUUUAGGUUUUCCUAUAUCCUUUUUGGAGCAGAUGGUUGUGGUGGGCAUGACUUGCCCCAUAUAAAGUUUCUUUCAUUGAUUGCAAAUUCUUUUUUUUUUUUUUAAUAAUUUUUAUUUGGAAUAUUUUCCCAUUGUUACAAUUGUAAGUUCUUCAUAAAAAAUUUACUGAACUCAUUGAAAGAAUGCUAAAGGUAUUUGAAUAAUAAUUUGAUAAUUUCAGUUUAAUAAACUUUUAUUAAGUGUACCACAGAUUAUGCCAAGUCUUUGGGAUAUUAAGAAAGGCAGGGACAGCUGGGUAGCUCAGUGGAUUGAGAGCCAGGCCUAGAGACUGGAGGUCCUAGGUUCAAAUCUAGCCUCAGACACUUCCCAGCUGUGUGACCCUGGGCAAGUCACUUGACCCCUAUUGCCUAGCCCUUACUACUCUUCUGCCUUGGAGCCAAUACACAAUAUUGACUCCAAGACAGAAGGUGAGGGUUUCAAAAAAAAAGAAAGAAAGAAAGGCAAAAAGACAGUCCUUGCUUGAUCAAUGGGAGAGACAACAAACAUGCAAACAAUUAUCUACGUACAAGAUAUAUAGGAUAAAUUGGAAGUCAUCAGGAAAGAUAGGGUACUAGAAUUAAGGGGAUUAUUGGGAAAGACCUUCUAUAGAAGGUAGGAUUUUGAUUUAAGUCUUUAAAGAAGCCAGAGGAAGCUGGGAGAUAGAGAUGAUGAGGAAGAACAUUCUAGCAUUGGGAGCAGCUAUUUAAAAUGCCCAGUUGGGGGAUAGAGUGUCUUAUUCAGUGAACAUUAAGAUGUCCAGCAUCACUGGACCACAGUUUUUGGAGGGCCAGCGAGGUGUUAGGUAUAAGAAGACUAGGAAAAUGAAGGGACAACAAAUUAUGAUUGGAUUUGAAUGGUGCACAGGAGAUUUUAUAUUUGAUACUAGAGGUGAUAGGGAGCCUCUGAAGCUUAUUGAAUGGAUGUGUCUGUGGGUAACAAGGUCAGACCUCUAUUUGAAAAAUUUUUUUGGCAUUUUCAAUUUCUUUUAUUACCAUAUAGUGUCACAUUCCUCUCUCCUCCUCCCAGAAAGCCGUCCCAUAUGAUAACUAGUGUUUUUUGGAAAGGAGGGGGAAAAAGUGAGCAAAAAAAGACCAAAAACAUGUGUAGUGUAUAACACCUGUAGAUUUCCCACCUCCAUGAAAAGGGUAGUUUAGGACACGUCUUCUCAUAUCUCUGAUUCUCACUUGCUAUUUAUAAUUUCAUUACCUUUUGAAUUUCUUUGGUAUAUCAUUGUUCUGUCCAUCAACAUUUUUGUAGUUUCUGUGUAUAUUGUUUUUGAGUCUGCUUACUUCACUGCAUGAAUUCAUAUAGAUUUUUCCAUGCGUCUAUGUAUUCAUAUACAUCAUUUCUUUUUACAGCACAGCAAUGUUCCAUUAACAUUCAUGUGCUACAAUUUGUUUAGCCAUUUCCCAGUUGAUGGACAUCCACUUUGUUUCCAAUUCUUAGCUAUCACAAAAAGUACUGUUAUGAAUAUUUUAAAGUAUAUAAUCUUUUUUUCUUAUUGAUGAUUUCCUUGUGGUACAAGCUAUGCUCUUGAUAAAUGAUGGUACUCUGGAGGGAAGGAGGAUCCUCAAAGAAUGUAGAGAUGAAUUUUAAGCCUUUUGAGACUCCAUUGCCUUAUUGAUGUUAAUUGUUUCAGUCUCCCCAAUAGUAAAUAGUCCCCAAUAGUAAAGAAGUCUCUAAUGCAAUUUAAAUACAAAGUCCAUUUCAAGUAUUUGCUCACAUGUAAAAUGGGUACCUUCCAUCAACAGUGAUUGACUGUAUCCUGUGGCAUGCAGUUGUUUUGUUGUUGUUGUAUUCCUCCUAUGACUAGAUCGGAGAUAAUACCAUUAUAAAAAUACAUAGACAAGUUAAACGCUAUUUUAGCUGACACAUUGUUAUGGGAUGUGAACUGUGAAUUUUUGAUUUUUUUUUUACAUUUUAUUGUUUUUCUUUUUAUUUUGUAAUAGGGUUUAUACCCAAAGCUUUAGACUAUGGAAACCUGCCAUUGAUUAUUAAAUAUUUUGAGACCCUGACUAAUAAUUAUGUCUGAUUCCAGAAGAAGGGAUCACCAUAGAACCACUGUAGGGUGCCAAGAAGCACAAGUCAGAGAGACCACCAAUCCCUGUAGGAUUGAUGAGAAUUUGUGCCACAACAGAGGACUUGUUUUGAGGUUCAAGGAAGCAGCUGUUUGACAUCAGAAGUUGGACUCUCCCAUACCAGAUUUCCUACUACAAGUACCUUAGUUUGGCUGCCAUUUUGGUUCCCCUAUCCCUGAGAGUGAAGGAAAAAUCAGACUAGGGAAUCACAUUCCCCCUUUACCUCAAAAUCUAGUCCCUUUUCUCUUUAUAGUAUGGAACUUUUCUGUAGUCAUGGCUGCCAAUGGAUAAACUGCUAUAUUACUGCAAUUGUCCUGUAGACUUAUAGGACUUAAAUCACUUUAAUUGGGCUCUGAUUCAAGGACCUGUCAUAUUCAAGGACCUGGCUUAUUCUUGCUUACUCAGAAUUUUAUAUAUACAUAGAUUUUGAUUACACCCCCCCCCCAAUUUUCUCAAAUUUGUUUUAAUGUUUUUGGUUUUUCUUUUGAGAAUUGAUUCAUAUACCCCAUAACUCAGGCAUGUAUCCUGGGUUGAUCUGGGUGUUGGUUAAUGCCCCCCUUGGGGGGGGGGAUUGUAUAAUUUUUGUAAAAAUCCAAGAUUUAAAUUUUUUAAAAGAAAUUUUCAGGAAAAGAAGCUUGUUAACUUCCCCGAAUCAAGAAAGUGAACUCUUUUUAAAGAAAGCUCCAUAAAGAAGCCUUUGGAAACCAUACACUGCAUCAGAAUAUCCAGAAUGAACUUUGGGAUAUAGUGAAUUGAACCAAAAGGGGGUUGAACCCAUUUAUUUUGAAUGUAUACUCUUAUGCCAAAGGGGAUUACCCCCAAUUGGCUUUUUGUCAGUGUGCCUAUCAUAUCAUUGUUUUUUUGCUUUCUUUCUCUUUUAUUUCCCUCUUAUCUCCAACUAUUGUAACUUCCCAUUAGAAAGUGCAAUAUUGUAUGCACCUCUAGCUAGAAGAACUUUACAGGUAUAAGCUGAUUAUGUGAAAUGAUUCAUUGGGGAGACUAAGAAUAUAAAUUUGGAAGAUUUCAACAUGUUCUUCUCCCAAUAAAAUCAUAGGGGAAUUGCGAAAAGGAAUUUUUUUUAUCUUAACUUAAGUACUUAGCGUGCUCCACCCUUUAGCUUAGCCAGUCAGGAACUUGAGAAUCCUUUUGAUAAAAGUUCACACCCUCAGAGGAUGAGAGGUGGAUCCCACAGGCACUGCUCCCUGGGCAGUGCAUGGCAAAUUAAGAAACUUUGAUUGGUUCCUGAGAUGUGAUAGACCAGCUCAUAGUGAAAGGAAAGUGAAACCAGAGAGGCAGGAAAUGAUGUGGAGAAAACUGCUUAUAAAAAGCCAGCUGAGGGAAUUCUGAUUAAUUUUUCUGCUGCCUUGGUGGCUCUUGCUGAGGGAGGACUUCUGCAUUGGAGGGUCUUCUGCUUUGGAGGGAUUCUUCUGCUAUGGACUUCUGUGUUGGAGAUUGAUUCUGCACUGGUAAAACUGGAGAUCAGGGCCUGAGGGAGCUUUUGUUAGAGUUGAGCUGGAUUUCUUUGGAUCAGCAAUUAUAGGGUAUUUAGCUAGGCUGUAUUUUCUCCUUCCUUCCUAUAUUUCCCUCUUGACUAUCUCUUCCCUGCUGUAAUAAAGCUAUUAACAUAACAGGGGACCACAACAAUCUUUUUUUUGACUCAUAAAUUUAGUCAAAACAUUUUUAACCCUUAUAAAGUCCAGUAAUGGAGUCUGAUUCAAAGGGUAUGACCAUUUUAUUUUAGUUACUUUAUUUGGAUAAUUCCAAAUUGUUUUCCAAAAUAGUUGUAUGAUUUCACAGCUCCACUAACAUUGUACAUUAUUCAACAUUAUGACUUUCUCCAUCUUGGUUCUGGUAUAUCACGGGUCAGCAUAAGAAAUUAAGUGAGAAUUUUGUGGAAGCUACAUAUGACUUGAAAGGCCAGCAGAUGACUGGAAAAGUCUAGAAACUCAGAAAUGUACAAAAUAAAUAUAAUAUCAACAUUUUAUCUUUUUAAUACCAUAAGUUUGCACAAUUUAUUUUUUGAAGUUAAAAUAAGUAAAAAGUUUGUGAAAAGAACAUGAAAGCCAAAAGCCUUAUGUGGAUUUACCAGAUCAUGGGGUGCUGUUCUCCUAACCUCUAUACUGUUGAAAGGACAUCUUAAUGUGCCUAUCCUUCCACAUCCCCUCCAACAUUGACCAUUGCUAAUUUUUAUCGUUUUCACCAAUUUGAAGGGUGUGAGGUAAAACAUCAGGAUUAUUUUGUUUGACUUCCCUGCCCUGCCCUGCCCUCCCCUCUUCUCUUUAUUUUAAAUGUUUUUCCCUGGUUACAAGGUUCAUGUUCUUUCCCUCUCCUUUUCCCUCCGGGAGCCAACAAGCAAUUCUACUGAGUUAUACAUGUAUUAUAGCUCAAUAUCCAUUUCCAUUUGUUAUGUGUAAAAGGUAUCUGUGGGAGUUUGAUGAAAUUGUGGAGAUCGGUUUGGUAUACCACCGACACUAUUUGGAGGAAAGUUAGAGAUAGGAAAUAGGUGAGUUUCUCAUAACUAUGCUUAAUUCAAACCCUAAUCUAAAAUCUCUAAGAAAACCCUAAAUCUAAAACUCUUCUUGCCUAACCUACACUCUCUAAUAUUAAAUUUGCUAUCUUUCUACCUAACUAAUAAAGUAAGGCUUUAUCUCCUCCAAUCUCCUACAACUAGUAUUUGAAAUCCAGACUGUCAGUGGUGAAACUGCCUGUCACAGUGACACAGACAGUCCUCCUGCACCCUCAGGUUCUGAGUGCUGAGUGCUGAGCAGAAACCCCCUCAGAGAUAGACUUCUUCUCAAAUCCUUAUCUAAAUUCAACCUCUCAACAGUUAAUUGUCAGAUCUUCUUGACUGAGAGAGAAACCUAAACAGCAACCCCAAAGCUCCUGUUCCCUGAGAAGCCAGAGAAAAUGGAAUUCUUUCUUAACUGAAAUGUCCUUAUAAAAUGUUCCCUUAAAGAGACAGCAUGAGAUCAUAUACAUUCUACUCUUAAAGAGACAGAGUGAAAUUAAAUAACUCCCUCUAACAUAGAAACUUCUGCUCCUAAGGAGACAGAGUGAAGUGAAAUAAACUCCUUAUAACAUAUAUUAUUCAUUUUUGUAAUAAUCUUUUAAAAGGUAAAACCCCACAAUCUAGUCCCAUAUAAACAAGUGAUAUAUUAUAUGUUUUUCUUCUGUUUCUAUUCCCACAGUCCUUUCUCUCAAUGUGGAUAGCAUUCUUUCUCAUAAGUCUUUUUGCCAUUUAUUUAUUGGAGGAUAUUCCCUAUUAUCUAUUUUUCUAUCUAUUUUAGAUACCAAAUCUUUAUCAGAGAAAUGGUACAAAGUUUUUCCCCCCUCAUUCUUCCAUUUCCCUUUUAAUCUAGAUUGAUUUAUGUUGUCUGAAGAAGCCUUUAAGAUUCAAGUAAUCAGUUACCUAUUUUGCCUUUCAAUUACCUCUCUCUCUUAUAGAGUACCAGUUCUGGAGUCAAGAAAACUUGAAUUUAAUUAAAUCUGACUGUAGACACUUACUAGUUGUGUGACACUGAACAAGUCACUUAACCCUGUUUUGCCUCCUUUUCUCCAUUUAUAAAAUGAGCUGGAGAAAGAAAUGGCAAGGUAUUGCAGUUUCUUUGCUGAGAACCCCCCCCCCCCUCCCCAAGGUGUCAUUAGAAUCAGAUAUAACUGAAAAACAACUAAACAAAAUCUUUUUAAUUUUGGUUAAGAAUAAAUUUCCUACCCAUAUGUGAGAGGUAUGUGAUCUGUUUUUCUAAUUUUUUAUAGAAUUAGUUUUAAUUUUACACAUUAAGAUUACACAUCCAUUUAGAAUGUAUUGUGGAAUAUGAUGUAAAUUGUUGAUUCAAGCUCAGUUUCUGCAAGACUGCUUUUCAGUUUUCCUGGCAGUUUUAAUCAAAUAGUGAGUUUUUCCCUAAGUAAAUAAUGUUUUUGAGUUUUUUCUCUAUCUUUCUUGCCCAGUCUGUUGCAUUACUCUUAUCUCUCUGUCUUCUAACCAAUACUAAAUGGUUUUGAUGACUGCUGUUUUUGAGGUCUGGAGUGCUAUUUGCCCUUUCAUUCUUGCUUUAUCUUUUCAUCAUUUCUCCUGAUAUUCUAGAUCUUUUUUCAAAUGAAUUUUAUUCCGUAAAGUAUCCUAUUCUAUAAAUUUGAUCGGAUUAGCAUUAAAAGUGUAAAUCAGUUUUAGUAGUAUUGUUUUUGUAAUGUUGAACCAUCCUUGCAUUCCUGGUUUAAAUCCAUCCUCGGUGCUAUUCUCUUUCCCUCAGACUUCUUGGGAGUGUUUCACUGUUUCUCCUAUAUCACCUUCCAUCCCUGACCUCCCCCUCCCCCAUCACAUAGUAUCCUGGUCUGGUAACCUGGCCCACUCAGUCCCUCUGUUCCUCAGUUCUCUGGCAUGGUAUUAGCAGUUUAGGGUUUUGUAGCCCUGCUGCUUCUGAGUUGAAGGUCCAGGGGGCUUUUGGUCUUAAAGGACUAUGGAUAACCUGAUUGUUGAGGACCAAGUAAAUGUCCACAGCUUGGAUCCAGGGUCUUGAUGGCACUGGAAAGAGGAAGAGAAGACCAAAGUUUAGGGGUGGCUUUUGCUAUAAGUCUGUGCUAAGUUUUUGUGUCUGCUAAUGCAGCCUGGUGUUUACAUGGCAUGGGACAUAGAAGAGGGAUGCUGAGUGAGUUGAGGAUUAGUAAACUUCACUUAAGUUCAUGGGUUUUUUAUUUUCUUUUGGAUUCUGGGAUUUGGAUUCUAGAACAUGGAGACAGCUGAAAAUGCUUUUAUCUUUGAUGCAUAUUUUCUUUUUUUGGAGAGGUUUGAAAGGUUGUGGGGAUCUAAGAAAAUGUCUAGUCUGCCAUCUUGUUGCUCAUGUGGCCUGAAAGUUGUCCCAGACCUGCACUUUAGAAAGAUCCUUAUGACAGUUGAGUAGAGAAGAUAGAGCAAGGAGAGACUUUGGGCUGACAGAUCAACUAUGUAGCUAUUGUUUAGUCCAGGCGUGAGGUAAUGACGGCAAGCACCAGUAUGCUUGACAGGAUCAGAAGAGAGAGACUACAGAGGUAAAAUGGACAAAUCUUGGCAAUGAUGAUGUGGGAUUCAAGAGAAAAUGAGGAGUUGUGAAGAUAGGAUUAACUCUCCUUACCUUCUAGAAUCUAAUAAGGAUAAUACCAAGGUUGUAAGCCUGGUUCACUUGAAGGAUGAUGGUGAUAUCCUUUACAGUAAUAGGAAUUUAGAGAGAAGAGAGGGUUUGGGGAUAAAGAUAAUAAGCUCAGUUUGGGACAUCUCAGGUUUAAAAAUGUCCAUUUCUAAUUGGAGAUAUAAGACUGUAGGUAAGCAGCAAAGUUAGGACUAGAUAAUUACAUUUGAGAAUCAUCAACACAGAGGUUAUGAUUGAAUCUACAGUAGCUGAUAACCAAAUAAAAUAGUUGUAGGGAGAGACAAAAGAAUAGGGCCCAGGACAGAACCAUGUAGAUCACUAUGACCUAGAUGAAGAUCCAGCAAAAGAGAGAGAUUGUCAGGUAGUAGGAGAAGCAGAUAGGGUAGUGUCAUCAACACCUAAAAAGAGAAUAUCAAGUUAAAAAGGGUGCUCUACAGAAUCAAAACUUGUCAUGUGGUCAAGAAGGAUGAACACUGAAAAAAACCCAUUAGUUUUGAAAAUUAAGAAGUCUAUGGAAACUUUAGUGAGAGCAUUUUCUGUUGAAUGAUGAGGUCUGGAAGCCAUACUAUAAAACAGUGGUGUCAAAGUCAAAUAGAUAAGGAUCCCUUCUUGUUAUGUAUUUUUUUAGAAAGCAACAAAUUAACAUUAUCUGUGUUGUGCUGUAUUUUAAUUUAUUUUCUUAAACAUUUUCCAAUUACAUUUUUAUCUGGUAUGGGCUACACUUGGGAGUUUUACAGGAGCCUAUGAGUUUGACACCUGUGCUGUUAGAAAUUUUAAGAAGAGAGUAAGAAAGGAAGUAAUCAUCUGUUGUAGAAAGAAGAGAUCUUUUGAGGGUUUCUUCUCAGGUAGCAGAUCAGAUUUUAUUGAAUCAGAAAAUUAAUUAUGUAAUCUCUGCUGAUUCUCUGGCCCUUUCUUCAUGGCCUAUGCUCUCCCCUGCUCCCAAAUUCUGUAAUUACUUUACCAUUGGUAGAAAUGGUCUCAAUAGCAUUGUAAUGUAACUCAGUGAAUAAUUUUCUCUAAUGGACUGCCAUUAAGAUUAAAGAGGUUCGUGGGCAGCUGGGUGGCCCAGUGGAUUGAGAGUCAGGCCUAGAGACUGGAAGUUUUAGGUUUAAAGUUGGCCUCGACCACUUCCUAGCUAUGUGACCCUGGGCAAGUCACUUAACCCUCAUUGCCUAGCCUUUACUGAUCUUCUGCCUUAGAACCAAUACAUAGUAUUAAUUCUAAGAUGGAAGUUAAGAAUUAAAAAAAAAAAUAGAGGUUCUCCAUAAUUCCUACUAUCAGUGAUAGUCGUCUUUGAAGUAAUAUGACAAACAUAAUUGAUCUUUUUGCAUAUUGAUUUAAGAUCUAUAACACAUUUUACGUACUUUAUAUCAAUUGUUCCUUAUAACGGUGAGGCAAAAUAUCAAUGCUAAUACUAUUUAUAAUUUGCUGAUGAGAAGCAGAGGCUCAGAGGUUAAAUACCUUGUACAUAUGUGUUCACAAAAGUCAAUAUCAUAAGUUGAAUUUUAUUUCUCUUGACUAAGCAUUCUUUUUUUUUUUUUUAAACCCUUUCCUUACAUCUUGGAGUCCAUACUGUGUAUUGGCUCCAAGGCAGAAGAGUGGUAAGGGCUAGGCAAUGGGGGUCAAGUGACUUGCCCAGGGUCACACAGCUGGGAAGUGUCUGAGGUCAGAUUUGAACCCAGAACCUCCUGUCUCUAGGCCCGACUCUCAAUCCACUGAGCAACCCAGCUGCCCUGACUAAGCAUUCUUUACACUUUACUUGCAUUGCCUCUUCUUUUCAAAGCUAUCUUGGCAAGGAAAGGUAGUAUAUUCUAUAUUCAAAUGAAAGAAACUCAUUCAUCUUUAUCAGUGUAGGAACAAUUUGAUAUGAAUUCCUCAAGGAGCAAAAAAUAUUUCUCCCUCCUGGAGAGAGUAAUUAAAUUUUAUUUGUGCUCUGUACUGUAUUGUUCCAAUUGAGUAGGCAUUAAUAGCUUUUGAUCAGAAUUAUAAGAGGAAAAUUACUUUUCUUCCUUUGUUUGCUAGGUAGUAGCCAAAUAUCUCAGUAACUAACUCAUAAUUGAAGUGUUUGUAAACAAGCUUGCAGUUUAAAAAUGGGGGGUGGGGGAAGAAAUUUCUAUGCAUUGACUCUUUUAAACACUAUAGCCCUUCAUAACCUAGCCCUAUCCUACCUUUCCAGUCUUCUUAUGCCUUAUUCCCUUCCAUGUAUUUAGCAGUCUAAUGAAGUUAUUUCUCCAGUAAAGUACUCCAUCUUCCUUCUCCGGGCAUUUUCGUUGGCUGUUCCUCAUGUUUGGAAUUCUUUCCCACCUUAUCUCUUUUGGUUUCCUUGGCCUCAUUCAAGGCUCAACCAAAAGUCUCAAAAGUCUCACCUUCUACAUGAAACCUUUUUUUAUGUCCCCUUUACUUUUGUCUUUUCUCUGAGAUUAUUUCUAAUUUAUCUGUGUGAAAGAGAAUUCUUUACUCUAUUUGCUAUCCUGAGUUAACCCUAACUUAAGUACCCCUACUUAGUACCUCACUAGAUUGAAGACAGGAUUAACUCUCCUUUAUCUACUUUUAAAUUGAAUCAAGAAAAGAUUAAACACCCUACUUAGUACUAGGUGAGAAGCUAGCAAGGUACUUAGAGAAUUAACACCCUUAGAAUAUUCAAUCAAUCAGAAAACUGUGAACCUUUUUGAUUCAAUCAGCCAGGAAUCUGUUAAUCUUUUUGAUGAGAACCUAACCUUCAGAAGGUGAGAAAUCAAUCCCACUGUCACUUCCCACAGAGCAGUGCUAGACAAUUUGGAAAGUGUGAUUGGCCCCUGUGAAGAGGGUAAGGGACAAGAAGACACCAUAAAAGCAAACCCCACACUCCUUCAGUGGAAGAUUGUCUUUGAGAAGAUAAUCUGAAGAGAUUGUCUUCUGGAGAUAGUUUUAGAUAGUCUUUGAGGGAGCUUCGCUGGAGACUUCGGCUUGGAUUGAGGACUUGGAGCUUGACUUCUACUUGGUCUCUUGACUCUUGAACUACUUUGUUGGGUGAGUGAAAGACUGACCCCUUUUCUGGAGAGACUAGCUUCUAUCUUGGACAGAGGCCACAUGGUUACUUACUGCCAGCCUUCCUGGUUGAGAGCUAAUUAAUCUCUUCCUGGAUUAAGCAGACAUGGAGCAAAACAUUUAGGUUGAUAGGAUAGAUAACUUCUCUACCCCCCCCCCCCAACACACACACACACAUUUCUCUUCUUUAUUGUUUCCUCUCUAUUUGUAAAUAAAUUUUAGACUUAAGAUAAAUACUGGAGACUACAUAAUUUCAUAUAAUCAUUGGCCAACAGUUAAUUUUAACCUUUACAUCCUGAAAUGAUCUUCUUGUAUGUAAUUGUUUGCAUGCUUCUUGUCUCUUCCAUUAGAUUGAGCUUCUUGAAAGCAGGAAUCGUUUCUUGCUUUUCUUUUUAUCUCAGCUAUUUUACACAGUGCCUGGUACAUGCAUUGAGGUAUUUAAUAUAUGCUGGUUGACUUGACUCCCAAGAAUGAUAUAAUCAAGCUGUAUGUAAGGUUAUAAAUGCAAAGGUCAUUGUUUGAAAGAAUUGCAGUAACAUAUAGUUUAUAUCAUGUAGGAGAAUUAAAAAUAAACAUAAGUAAGAAAAGCAACACAAAGGUCAUUAAGUUGGUGGUAGUUGUUAAACCUUCAUUUUUAUUAGCAGUCUUUGUUUUUUUUUUAUUUCCCAACUAACUAAGCAGCAAUACAAUGAUUAGGACAAUUCUGAAGGACUUACAACAAAGAAUGCAAAACCAUCCCCAGAGAAAGAACUUUUGGAGUUGUAAUGCAGAUUAAAGCAUGUUUUUCACUUUAAUUUCAGUUUUUCUACUUCCCAACUAACUUCCCUAUCCCUAACUCAGUGCCAUUAGCUGAUGAGAACCUGAAAGUGUGAUCUACAUUUUUGAUACUUAGAUGCUUUUCACAAGUAGUUUUGGUUCAAUGCUUUCUCUGGGAAGAAACGAAGCCUUUGGUUUCUUUUUGUUAGCAAAUAUAAUCAACUCCAGUGUCUUCCUGACGGUUAAUAAAAAUGAAUAUCUUAACAAUAAUACGUCCAUUUUAAUUGAACAUAAAGAGAUUUAAAAGCACAGUUUAUGCCAGUAAUAUUGCUCAAUUAUAGGUAGACUGAAUGUAGCUUGAUUAGGGAAAAACUGAGUGUGUUAAAAAUCAUUUAGUAUCACUUUGCAAAGUUUAUCUAUGCAACAGGCCUAUCUAGCAGGCUAAAAUGUGGAUUGCAAAGCCAUAGAUAUGGAAUUUUAAGGCCUUCAUUACUACGAUUAAACAGUUCUAGUUCUUCCAGGAUUAGACUUAAAAAAUGAGUUCCUUAAUUGAGAGGAUGUCCAUCAAUUGGAGUGUCUGAACAAAUUGUGGUACGUCAUGAUGAUGGAAUACUAUUGUACUGAAAGAAGUGAUGAAGAGGAUGAUUUCAGAAAGAGCUAGAAAAAACCUGCAUGAACUGAUGCAAAGUGAAGUAAGCAGAACUAAGAGAACCUUGUAUCAGUACCAGCAAUACUGUGGAAUGAUCAACUGAAAGACUUAUCAACUCAGCAAUAAAAUGAUCAGGAGAAUUCUGAAAGACUUAUGACAAAGUGUGCUAACCACCUCCAGAGAAAAAACUUUUGGAGUUAUAAUGCAGAUUAAUGCAUGUUUUUCACUUUAGUUUAUUUCAGUUUUUGUUUUGGGGUUUUGGUUUUAUAGGAGUAUUCUUUCAAAAAUUAACAAUAUGGAAAUAGAUUUUGCAUGAUAAUUCAUGUGUAACCCAGUUCAAAGUUCCUAUUUACUAUCUCUGGAAAGGGGGAGGGAAGGAGACAAUUUGAUCACAUAACUUCAGAACACUUAAUGUGGAAAAUUAUUACACAUAAUUGGUAAAAUAAAAUAGCCCUCCCCUCCAUGUGCUCCUUAAGCUCAGAUAGGUUUAUAUGAAGCUAUUAAAAGAUGUUUCAAAGCAAGGUAAAAUUAUGUUUAGUUACUUGCUGUUUUGAAUUAUGCUUCUCAAAUGUUGAUUUUCUCUUAGCUUGUUUGCCAAGAUAAUUAUUGUUAAUUUGAUAUUUCAAUAUUUUAGGGUAAAGUUUUCUGAGAAAACCCUUUCUCAAAUGAAAAUAGAAUUGUUACAUCUGAAAUUUAUUUUUAUUUGAACUCUUGCCUCUACAUUCCAGGAAUUGGUCAUUGAGUAAUAAGUAAUGUCUUCCUAAACCACCAACUUACAGUGUUGUUUGAUAUGAAGGAGCCAAUGGCAGUUUUCUUUUUAUUAAGUUCUUUGUAGUGUUAUAGGUAUGAUAACAUUAUAGUCUUAAUUUAGAUUAUUGUUAUCUUUUAUACUAAGGAACAUGAAUACAAAUUCUAGACUGCCUGCAUCAAUUUUAGGGAAAUUCAUAGAAUAACACAGAAUUAAAAGCAUUUUAACAAGGUUUUAAAAUUUUUAUUUUGAAUAGCAAAUUCUCCCUUCCCUCACCCUUUGAUAUAAGGCAAGACAUACAAUACCCAUUAUAUAUAUGAAGUCAUGUAAAACAUUUCCACAUUAGCCAUGUUGUGUAUAUGGGGCAGAAAAAUAAAGAAAAUAAAAAAAAUGCUUCAAUCUACAUUCAAAAAUUUGCCAGCACUUCUGGAAGUAGGUAGCAUUUUUCAUCAUGGAAUUGUUGUCUAAGCGAAGACUUAUUGAAAGCUCAGUGCCUUGAAGCAGAGAGUUAUAUAUUUUGGCAUAUGGAAGGAACUAAGAGACAUAGAUGAAAAAUCAGAGUGAUAUCAGAAUUAUACAAUUUAGAGGUGGAAGGAACUUAAAAAAAAACAGCUUAACUAAUUUAGAGUAUUUUUCUUUUUUUUUUUUGAGCAUUUAAUUUAAUUAAUUAAGGACACUUUUUCCAUGGUUACAUGAUUCAUGUCCUUUUCAUCCUCUCCUCUCCCCUCCCCCCCCCAUAGCCAACAUGCAAUUCCAUUGAAUUUUACAUGUGUCAUUGAUCCAGACUUAUUUCCAUAUUAUUAACAUUUGCACUAGGGUGAUCGAUUAGAGUCCGUAUCCCAAUCAUAUCCCCAUCGAACCAUGUGAUCAAGCAGUUGUUUUUCUUCUGUGUUUCUACUUCCACAGUUCUUUCUCUGGAUGUGAAUAUCAUUCUUUCUCUUAAGUCCCUCAGAAUUAUCCUGGAUCAUUGCAUUGCUGCUAGUAAGAGAAAUCCAUUAUAUUCGAUUGUGCCACAGUGUAUCCAUCUCUGUGUAUAAUGUUCUCCUGGUUUUCUCCUUUCACUCUGGAGGUUGUUCCAGUUCACAUGGAAUUCCUCUAAUUUGUUAUUUCUUUUAGCACAAUAGUAUUCCAUCACCAACAGAUACCACAAUUUAUUCAGCCAUUCCUCAAUUGAUGGACACUCCCUCAUUUUUCAAUUUUUUGCCACCACAAAGAGCAUGACUAAAUUUUUUUUUUUAACCCUUAUCUUCUGUCUUGGAGCCAAUACUGUGUAUUGGCUCCAAGGCAGAAGAGUGGUAAGGGCUAGGCAAUGGGGGUCAAGUGACUUGCCCAGGGUCACACAGCUGGGAAGUGUCUGAGACCAGAUUUGAACCUAGGACUUCCCAUCUCUAGGGCUGGUUCUCAAUCCACUGAGCUACCCAGCUGCCCCCUAUAAAUAUUUUUGUACAUGUCUUUUCCCUUAUAAUCUCUUUGGGGUAUAAAUUGUAAGAGAUCAAUGCUGUAAAAGACCUGGAAAAACAGAUGCAGUGAAUGGAAGCUUGAAGAGCUGUCCGUCAAGGAAAAAUUUCAGAGGAGAAUGUGACCUGGGGAAGGCAGUUGUACAGGGAGACACAAACUACUUCUUACUAACUGUUUUUUCUGAGACUUGAGGAGGAAGAAGAGCUAAGGAGAUUUCUCUGCCUUUUGGUUAUUGAUUUCUCUCUGAAAUAUUUGGGGUUUGACUCUGAAGACCUUUGAAAGCUGUUAACAAUAUCCCUCUUAAAAGACUAUAUAAUUUUACUUACUCAUUUUAAAAUUUACAAUAGAUCAGGGAAAAUCCUGAAAUCCCUCUCUCCUCUCCAAAUUCCCUUACCCUUCCUUCCUUAAAAUAAACCCCUGUUUCUGACUUCUCAUUACCUCAGUGUGCUUGCCCAGAAACCCCAUAUUACCGUAAACAACUUAACAAAAAGAACAACCUAAUACAAAACCCAGCAGUGGUAUGACUGGAUCAAAGGGCAGGCAGUCUUUUAGUGUCCUUUGGGCAUAGUUCCAAAUUGUUUUCCAUAAUGAUUGGAUUAAUUCACAACUCCACCAGCAAUGCAUUAGUGUCCCACUUUUGCCACAUCCCCUCCAACAUUUAUUACUUUUCUGUCAUAUUAGCUGCUUUCAUAUUAGCCAAUCUGCUAGGUGUGAGGUAGUACCUCAGAGUUAUUUUGAUUUGUAUUUCUCUAAUUUAAAGAGAUUUAGAACACUUUCAUGUGCUUAUUUGUAGUUUUGAUUUCUUUAUCUGAAAACUGCUUUUCAUGUCCCUUGCCCAUUUAUCAAUUGGGGAAAUGCCUUGAUUUUUUUGUACAAUAGAUCCUUAUCUAUUAUCUCCUUAUUAAUUUGAGUAAUUAGAACUGCAAAAAAUUGGAAAAUGAGGGGAUGCCCUUCAGUUGGGGAAGGGCUGAACAAAUUAUUGUAUAUGUUGGUGAUGGAAUACUAUUGUGCUCAAAGGAAUAAUAAAGUGGAGAAAUUCCAUGGGAACUGGAAUGGCCUCCAGGAAUUGAUGCAGAGUGAAAGGAGCAGAACCAGGAGAACAUUGUACACAGAGAUCGAUACAUUGUGGUACAACUGAAUGUAAUGGACUUCUCCAUUGGUGGCAAUGUAGUGAUCCUGAACAAUUUGGAGGAAUCUAUGAGAAAAAACAUCAUUCAGAGGAAAAACUAUGGGAGUAGAAAAACAACUGCUUGACUACAUGGGUCGAGGGGAUUUGGCUGGGGAUUUGACUCUAAAUGAACAUCCUAAUGCAAAUACCAACAACAUGGAAAUAGGUUCUGUUCAAGGACACAUGUAAGACCCAAUGAAAUUGCGCUUUGACUGCGGGAAGGGUGGGGUGAGGGAAGGGAGGGAAAUAAUGUGAUUCUUGUAACCAAGGAAUAAUGUUCUAAAUUGACUAAAUAAAUUUUAAAAAAAAUGAGAAAAAAAUAAAACAAAAUACCCUCUCCCCCCAAAAUAGAACUUUGUCAGAGGUUUUUGUUACAAAUAUUUUUUUCCAAUUUGUUGCUUCCCUUCUAAUUUUUGUUGCAUUGGUUUUGUUUGUACAAAAACUUUAAUUUAAUGUAAUCAAAAUUAUUCAUUUUACAUUUUGUGAUAUUCUCUGUCUCUUGCUUGGUCUUAAAAUCUUUCCUUUCCCAUAGAUCUGACAGGUAUACUAUUCUAUGUUUAUCUAAUUUACUUAUAGAAGUCAUUCACCCAUUCUGAAUUUAUCUUGGUGUAGGAUGUGAGUUGUUGUUCUAAACCUAAUCUCUCCCAUACUGUUUUCCAAUUUUUCCAGCAUAUAGUUUUUGAGUGUUUUUGUCCCAAAAGGUGGCUUCUUUGGGUUUGUCGUAUGCUGUUUUCCUGAGGUCAUUUACCCCAAGUCUAUUCCCCACUGAUCCUCCUUUCUGUCUCUUAGCCAGUACCAUAUUUUUUUGAUGACCAUGCUUUAUAGUAUAGUUAGAGAGAUAUAAUAAUGGUAAGCCUCCAUCCUUUACUUUUUUUGUUAUUUCCCUAGAUAGCGUUGAUCUUUUGUUCUUCCAAAUGAACUUUGUUAUAGUUUUUUCUAAUUUGAUAAAAAAGUUUCUGGGUAGUUUGAUAGGUAAUAAGUGUAUUAAUUUGGGUAGGAUUGUCAUUUUUUUAUGUUAGCUUGUCGUACCAUGAGCAAUCAAUGUUUUUCUAAUUAUUUAGAUCUAGUUUUAAUUAUGUGGAAAGUGUUUUGUAGUUGUGUUCAUAUAAUUCCUAUAUUUAGGGUGAUUUUAAAUGGAACUUCUCUUUCUCACUUUUACUGCUGAGAUGUGUUGGAAAUAUAUAGAAAUGCUGAUCAUUUAUGUGGGUCUAUUUUGUAUCCUGCAACCCUGCUAAAGUUGUUGAUUAUUUCCACUAGCUUCUAAUUUCUAAUUCUCUAGGAUUCUUUAAAAGUAGAGCAUCAUAUAUCUGCAAAGAGUGAUAGCUUCGUCUCUUCAUUACCUAUUUUAAUAUCUUCAAUUUCUUUUUCUUCUCUGAUUGUUACUGCUAGUGUUUCUGGUACAAUGUUAAAUAGCAGAGGUGAUAUUGGGUAUCCUUGUUUCACUCCCUGAUCUUAUUGGGAAGGCUUCUAAUUUAUCCCCAUUGCAGAUGAUACUUGCUGGUGUUUUAAAAUAUAUAUUGUUUAUUAUUUUUAGGAAAGGCCUUUCUAUUCCUAUACUUUCUAGUGCUUUCAAUAGGAAUGGGUGUUAUAUUUUCUCAAAGGUUUUUUCUGCAUCUAUUGAGAUAAUCAUAUGGUAUCUGUUGGUUUGGUUAUUAGUGAAGAAUCCUCUGGUUCAUUUGCUGUUUUGUUUUUGUUUAUUGAUAGUAUUCCAUUUAAGAUUUUUGCAUCUAUGUUUUUUAAGGAGAAUGGUCUGUAGUUUUCUGUUUUUGCUCUGCCUGGCUUUAGAAUCAAUACCACGUUUGUGUCAUAAAAGAAAUUUGGUAGAAUUCCUUCUUUGCUUAUUUUGUCAAAUAGUUUGUAUGGUAUUGGGAUUCGUUCUUUAAACGUUUGAUAGAAUUCACUUGUGAAUCCAUCUGGCCCUGGGGAUUUUUUCUUAGGGAGUUCUUUGAUGACUUAUUCAAUUUCUUUUUUCUGAUAUGGGACUAUUUAAGCAUUCUAUUUCUUCUUCUGUUAAUUUAGGCAAAUUAUAUUUUUGUAAAUAAUCAUCCAUAUCCCCUAGAUUGCCAUAUUUAUUGCCAUAUAAUUGGACAAAAUAGUUCUUCAUUAUUACCUUAAUUUUCUCAUCAUUAGAGAUGAGGUCGCCCUUUUCAUCUUUGAUACUGUUAAUUUGGUUUUCUUUCCUUUUUUUUAAUAGAUUAACCAGUACUUUUGUUUUUUCACAGAUCCAGCUUCUAAACUUAUUUAUCCAAUAGUUCUUUCACUUUCACUUUUAUUAAUUUCUCUUUUAAUUUUUUUUUAAUUUUUUAAUUUUUAGGUUUUCUAAUUUAGUUUUUAUCUGGGGUUUUUAAGUUUGUUCUCUUUCUGAUUUUUUAAUUUGCAUGCCCAAUUAAUGUCUGAUUUGUUAAUCUAUGCACUUGGGGUUAUAAAUUUCCCCGUACGUACUGCUUUGGCUGCAUCCCAUAGAUUUUGAUAGGAUGUGCCAUCAUUGUCAUUCUCUUCUAUGAUUUGUUCUUUAACCAACCAGUCUUGGAGAAUUAUAUUAUUUAAUUUACAAAUAAUUUUUGAUUUGCCUCUCCAUGUACCCUUAUUACUUGUUUAUUUUUAUUGCAUUGUGAUCUGAAAAGGUUGCAUUUAUUAUUUCUGCUUUUUUGCAUUUGUCUGUCAUGUUUUUAUGCUCUAGUCAUGGUCAGUCUUUGUGAAUAUACUAUGUGCUACUGAAAAGAAGGUGUAUUCUGGAAGGGACUUUUUAAAUAAUCUAGUCCAACUCUCAUUUUGUUUCUGAGGCAUCCCUGCCACAUACAGACAGAACAACUUACAAUGUAUACUUAGCCCUCAACUCUCACAGGUAUAAUGCUCUUGGAACAUUAUGCAAAAAAAAAUUAUGCAAAAAUAAAAAAUGUGAGUUAAUAUAUUCAAUUUAUAGGAAAUAGGAGAUUAGGUUUUCAUGACCAUCAACAUCUGUAAUCUUUUGCUAAAGAUGACUGAAAAAAUAUUUUUCCACAUAUAACUUUUAAUAACAAAACUGAUUGAUGUUAUGCAAUAUGCCUACAUAGAACUUAUGAAGUAAUCCAAAAAUACAGUAUACAAAAUGAAGUUGGUAACAUGCAAAACAUUUUCUGAUUUGUAAUUCCCUAGAAUUCUAUAACCUUUGGUACUAAUGUCUCAAUUAAAAACAAAACAAAAUAUUUCAGACAAUAUUCACUUUUCCUUAAGCAUAAACUCUAUAGUACCAUUGAUACUAUACAGCAAAUAUAAUUCUUAAAAUUAAGACAUUUUUUAAACCUGGUAUAACAGUCAAAGGAAUUGUAGAGGAUUGAAAAAGGUACAAGGGAUAAGGAAGGUUUUGUAACAGGAAAUGGAGGAGUUGAAGGGUUAGAGGUUAUAUUGAUGCUGGUGAGGAAAAAGGAGAGUGAUGCCCCCUGCUGAGAGCCUGUCUUUGAAAAAUGGGGUUCCUGGGAAAUGGGCCCACCAUGUAGCCUGAGGGGAUGCCUUUUCUGUUGAUUGAUGUUGAAGAUACCCCAGAGCAGGUAAGCAUGGACCCUCCUGAGGGACAAGCCUCCCCCCAGACCCAGGCCAUCCAGCAGAGAUCCAGUAAGGACCAUUUAUGGUUGAAUGGCUUUCCUUAGGUUCUUCCCCCUCUAUAUUCCCCUGAAAUGAUAGUCCUCUGAUCUAACUGUGCGUUAUUUAACUCAAGAUGAAUUUAAUAACAAGUUUGGAUUGGAAAGGUAUCAGGGUAGAGGGAAGAGGGGUUCCCCAAUUCUUUGCUACAGAUUGGUUGAGUCUCUCUCAGCUUUUGAGCUGAAGCCAGGCCUUGCAGGCUUGUGGAGGGUUUCUUCUAUUCCUAUCUAUGCUAUAUGUGAUAGCUUUCUUAAGUUCAAAGUCUUAGCAGUAGACAGCAAGAAGUAGAAACGGUUCUGACUUUCAGAUCUGGUUGGGCCUGUCUCUUCGGGCUAAUGUUCUAAAGACCAGCCUUUCAGUUUAAACUGCUCCCCUUAAAUCCUUUUGUUUGAUGACACAAUCACCAGAAUUCAGGUAGAGCACACAGUGGGGAAAAAUUCAGGAAUAGAGAUUCUUCUAUCCAGAUACAGGGAAGAGAGCACUCCUUCCAGUCUGAGGGCCAGGAAAGGGAGUCCUCAAGAGCAAUUGUCACUCUCCAAGUUGACUCUACUCCCCCCAACUGUCAUCGUUGUCAGUAUCUUUACUCCAACAUUCCAGCUGCUGUUUCCUCCACUCAGUGGCAGCAAGGCCCAAAACUUGAUUCAGUUUUCCUUUCCACACUGGAUAUUACCUUCCACUGUGUCAGAUGGUGACAGUGUACUGCAUACUGUUUUGUUGUAAACCUCUUUCCCUUGGCUGCCUUCUGAAAACCACAAAUGAGGUUGCUGGGACUUCAUUGCUGCUGUUGCAAGGUGCUGAGACUGACUAGGUCUCUGUAUCACUAUAUAGCCCAAAGGACUUGCACUAUGAUUUGGGUGCAUAAUUGUAAUCCAAAACUUCAAUUUUAAAUGAAAAAAAAAAAAAGAAAAAGAAAAUAUGCAACAUAUGCAUGGGGAUCUUUUUAUAACAGAAGGGUAAAAUAGGACCUGUGUAGCAUCUAGUAGCAUACCAGCAGUUCUACAAACUUCAGCACAUUGUGUUUCUCAUUUUUUCCCUACUACACAUAGCUAUGAACAUGCACAGUUGCCAAAUGUGAAAGUGAAAAUGAGGUUACUAAUAAAAUCAUGCAAAUACUUCAAGCUGAAAAAGUUAAAUGUGUGACUGAUGAGGAUCAACAAUAUUAACAGACCCAAGGUCACAAUCUGGCUCUCUGAAUACUACAUUCACUUCUGUUGAAUUUCAGCAUGUACCUGAAUUAUUAGAAAAGAACAAGUGUUCACAUUUAAGUUUUGAGAUGUAUGAAAAAUUCCUAAUUUACUCAAACAAGAUGUAUUUUCUCUCCCUCCCCCAACUGUGUUUUCUUUCUUAAAAAACUUCCCCAUUACAUGUAAAAACAAUUUUUUAAACAUACUUUUCUUUUUGAGUUCCAAAUUCUUUCCUCUAACCUGCUCUCUCCCCUCCCUGAGACAAGUCUAUUACUGAUUUUACAUGUAUAAUCAAGUAAAACAUUUUUUUUGUAUUAGUCAUUUUAUUGAAGACUUCUCAAAUGGGGAAAAAAAGAUAAAGAAAAUUAAAUGUAGUAUAUGUCAGUCUGCAUUCAGAUUCUUAGUUCUUUGUCAGAGAGCAACUCGAAUGUUUUAUCAUGAGUCUUUGGGAAUGUCUUGGAUCACUAUAUUGCUGAGUAUAACUAGAUCACUCACAGUUGUUGAUCAAGAAAUAUUGCUGUCAAUAUAUAUAUAGUAUUCUUCUGGUUCUGCUUCCUUCAUUUUGUAUUGGUUCAUAUACGUCUUUACAGAUUUUCCUGAAUUCAUCAUACUUGUCAUUUCUUCUGGCACAGUAGCAUCCCAUAACUAUCAUGUACUAUAACUUGUUCAGCCAUUCUCCAGUGAUGGACAACUCCUUUUUCCAAAUCUUUGCUACCAUUAAAAUUUUUUUUUUUCCUUUGGGAUACAGAUCUAGUAAUGAUAUACAAUUUUACUGUUCUUUGAACAUAGUUCCAAGUUGCUGUCCAGAAUGGUUGGAAACCCCCCCACCCCCCACCCCCCCAAGCAGGCCACAUUCUCUUCAACAUUUAUUUCUUUUUUGUGUGAGGUAGUAUUGCAGAAUUGUUUUAAUUUCAAGUGUAAGGAUUAAAUUCAAUGGUUGGACAAUUUUAUGAAGGUAUGUGGUUGCCAAUAUUUAUUAUAGUAGUCUAUGUAAAUUGGUGUCCUUUUUUUCUCUGGCAGUUAUACAGGCAUGUUUUAAAUUAUAAGUUCUGCACCUUAAGCACUUAUGUUUGAGGACAAUGAAGCUGACCACACAGUAGCAAAUUCUGUGACUACUGCAGCUCCAGUGUAACAUAUACCAUCCCUUAUGAAAGAAGACCCAUCAGUGAAUAAACUAGAUCUGGAUUGUCUAAAGGGCUGUCCAAUAGAUUUUCUUAAGGCUUUUCGGCCAUGGACACUAGUUUCACAGCUAUGUGGUAGUUUUCCUGAAACUGGCAAAUCAAGAAGCACGAUGACUGGGUUAAGAGUUGUAUAAUGUUUUAAAGUGAUGUUUUUGUUAUUCCAUAUCAGGUGAGUCUUUGAUCAGAGAAUUCCUGUGUUCUAUGCCUGACCAGCAAUGCUUCUACUUCGUGUGGGCAUAUAAUUGUCAAUGGCCAUCCCAGUAUUAAUUCAGCUGCCUUAGUUACUAAAAAAGCUGUGGCAGCUACGCCUCUUAAGGCAUGGUGGUGCUCUGUAAGCUACUGGGUCUAGCUGGACCGAGUAAUAAACAACCAGACCAGGAACUGGACCCAGACUUUGGCUUAAAACUCCUGAAACCACCCCUUUCUAUUCAUGUAUGUAUAAAGUGAAUGGCUUAUUAUCAUCUGGGAUCUCUAGAGCAGGGGCAGACUAGGUAACUUAUUUUGAAUCUGACAGAGGUGACAAAUGUUUUGGUUCUAACCUAAGUGGUUCAGUGACUGAAUCUUUUGUUAGUGCUUUAAGGGGUUUAUUGAUUUCCCCAUAGCAAGGGAUUCAUUGUCUACAAAAACCUGUUACUCCUAAGAUUGCUCUUAACUGUUUCUUAGUAGUGGGAGUGUUUAAUUUUUUAAUAUCUUCAAUGUGCUUAGGAGAAAUAGAACAGGAAUCAACAGUUAAAAUGAACCCUAAAUAUUCCACUUUGAGGAGAAACCAUUGAACCUUUGCCAUUUCCAGGGUAAUUCCCUCAGUUGCCUCUUGAUACUGAGGAAUGGAAGGAGGUAGGGAAUUUUUUGUCUUAAUCUGAAUUGGAUCAGAUGAUUUAUAUAGGCUUACAUUGGAAAAAGAUAUGACCCAACAAGACUCGGGUAUAUCAGCUGGUAUUUCAAAGUUGGGAGGCUCUUUCACCUCUCAGCUCUCUGAGAGAAGAACAGGGAGCAAAUUUAAAGAUUCCUCCAGUAACUGUAGUGACAUAGAGCCAUCUGGAGCACAUGUUAUUGUUGCUUUUAGUUUACAUAAUAGGUCUCUUCCCAGCAGAUUUGUGGAGGACCCAGGCAUUAAUAGGAAAGAAUGUUCUACAGAUAAGGGUCCCACGGAUACCAUUUGAGGAGAAAGUUUUGGGACCUUUUGAGGUGUUCCUGAUAUACAUACUACAUUUAUAGAUCCAGUGGGAUCACAUUUUGCAUCUGCUUUAUUCACCAGAACUAAUCUACAUGCUCCAGUGUCUAAAAGGCAGUCAUAAUAUAUGAGUUUCCUCUUUUUAGGGUUACAUGUGGUUCAUCACUAUUUGAGGGGGGAAUGGAUAGGGAUAAUUGGCAUUAAAGCAUCAGGUUCUGGAAAAUCAAAGGUUUUACUUUCUAAUUCUAAGGUGCCCCCCCAUCGUACCUUCAUAAAGAUACUUGGGCAUUUCUCUGGGAUCCUCCAUGCUGAGGGGGAUUUUCACCCUGUGCAUAACAUGGACGAGUUCUACUUUGGAGUUAUUGUUGUAGUGUAUUUUGUUGUGUAUCAUUAUUUUCCUUAUUUCAGGUAUAAUUUCUGUAAUUAUUUCUAUUAUAAUUUUGAUAAUUGUUAUUUCUGAAAUUACCACUAUUCCUAAAAUUCAUGUUAUUGAAUACCUGAUUCCAAUUUAUGCAAUUUGACCAUUAAAUGCCCUUUUCUUCUACAUAAAUAAUAUUUUGGUGGUUUAUUUGUGGAUUCUUACAAAGGUGCUAGGGUCACUCUAUGAUCUUUUCUUUCCAGUUUUUAAAAAAUUUUUUAUUUUCUCCUUAAUUCCUCCAUUGACUCCCUGUCUUCAUUUUUUCUCUAGUGGCUGUCAAAUACGUAUAUAGCUACUCUCCUUAAUUCUUCAAGUUCCAUACUGGACCACUUUGGGCAGUUGAUUCUAAAAUAAUCUUUUACAACUUUAUAGCAGUUCUGUCCAAACUGCUGUCCAAUAUAUCUAACAUCCCUUUCUUGGGAAAGGUCCAGUUCUAUAUAUCUACCUCCCAGCUCAAAUGAGUCUGUUCAUAAAUUGGGAGGGAAUUUUUGUUGAUUUUUUUUGUCUUAAGUUUUCAAAUUUAGUCCAUGUUCCUGGUCUGCCGGAGCAAGCUGUCAUUGCUGUUAAUAAUGCCUCUCUAGACUGGCAUAAUCUUAUGUAAUCCUGUUUAUUAUUGGGGUUCCAUUUUGGGUCAUCAUGUGGCCAGUUAAUUGCUUUUCUUCCUUAGUCCUGAUUAAUGAGAAAGAUAAUCUUAUUUUUCUCUCUUUCUGUCAAAAAGGCUUGUUGGUUUUCAAUACCCACCCAAACAGGGUCAUAUGUGAGGAAGAUACCCUCUAGUUUUUUUUUUUUUUUUAAUUUUUUUAUUACUACAAUUGGGUUGUCUUCAAAAGAAGGGCUGUCUUGUUUGAAUCUUUGAAUGUCCUGGGGGUGGGGGUGGGGGUGGGGGUGAAUGGUGAAUAGUGUCUAAGGGAAACCAUAUCCCCACUCCUAUUAAAGGUGGGUACCAACUUCAGGGGAUAUAGGAUUUUAGCCAGAUUAUUUUUUAUUCCUAUCUGUAGGCUUGAUGUUUGGUUUUCAGUGGGUAGGUAAGCUGAGAGGGAGGGGUUCUGGAUAGGGAGGGGAAGAGGGAUAAAAGGUGGGAGUGGGGGGGUGAAUUGGGCAGGGGGGAGAGUGGAUGGAUGAGUUGGGGAGGGGGUUGAAGUAGAGACAGGGGUGAAGGAGAGGGAUAGUUUGGAGAGGGGAGAAGGGGGCUGGGGCAGAGGAGAAAGGAUAGGAGGUAGCAAGGGUGGGGGAAGGGGUGGAUUGAAUAGGAGGAACAAGAUUAUGUAGGGUGGGGUGGGACAGAAUUUCAAUCAGCUCCAAUAAUGAGGAAGUGUGGAGAGAUUUAUCCUGGAGGAUUUUUAAGUUUCUUCUAAUGUUUUUCAUAAAAGUUUUUAUCUCCCACAAAGUAUUCUUCAUACUUUCAUUUUGAGUUUUUAAUUCUGCUCUGAGUGCAAUAUGUAGAGUAUAGGUAGAAUAGGUAAAAUAUGUAGAGUAACAAGCCUAUUUCUCUGGCUAAAUAGAGAUACUGUGAAAUUUCCUCUGAACAUAUGAGCCAUUUUAAACUGAGAAAAGACAACAACAUGUUUCCAACUCGAUUUAUAUUGGUAAAAUCCAUGUUAACUGGUAAUAAUUUACAUAUUGGAUUCGUUGUAAUUUUUUCUUUUUUACCAGUAGAUGGUAUUGGCGAGGGUUUAGGGUCAGAGUUUGGUAUUUUCAAGGAUUUUUCAAGUAGUUCUAUAGCAGAAUACAGGCAAGCCCUUAAUCAUCUAGCCUCAGGCUAAAAAGGAUUAACAAAGGAUUCUAAGUGAUUUUGAAAAACAAAAAUUUGAACUUCUUAGUUGAAAAUUAUAGAAACAAAAAAAAGGCUGAUUUGAUAAAAGGACAAUUUAAGAAAAGUGAAGAAAAUUUGAGGGUGGUCACAAACUUUGUGGUUGCCAUAAAUGUAAGUGUUGAUUUUAAUGGUUGGACAAUAAUUUUAUGAAAUUAUGUGGUCUCCAAUACUUUUUAUAUCUCAAGUCAGAAAUUUAAUUACAAAUAUUUACAAAAUGGAGAGGAAACAAUAAAGUAGAGAAAUGUGAAGGUUAGAAAGGUUAUCUAUCCUAUCAACCUAAAUGUUUACUCCAGGUCUGCUUAAUCCAGGCAGAGAUUAAUUAGUUCUCAAUCAGGCAGGCUAAUGGUGAGUAACCAUGAGGCCUCCUCCAGGAUGGAAGCUAGUCUCUUAGGAAAUUUGGAAAGAAGUCAGUCUUUCACUCACCCAAUGAAGUAGUCCAGGAGUCAGAGUCUAAGUUAAAGCUGAGCUCCAGGCCCAUGAUCAAAGCCGCAAUCUCCAGCAAAGCUCCCUCAAAGAUUCCCUAGUUAGAAGACUGUCUCCAGAAGACAAUCUCUUCAGACUAUUUUCUCAAAGACCAUCUCCUCUGACGGAGUUUGGGGCUUGCUUUUAUGGUGACUUCUUGACCCUUCCCCUCUUCACAGGGGCCAAUCACAAUUUCCAAAUUGUCUAGCACUGCCCAGUGGGCAGUGUCUGUGGGAUUGACUUCUCACCUUCUGAAGGUUAAGUUCUCAUGUAAGGGUUUGAAUUUUCUAAAUCUCAUCUUUUGGAGAGACCUGAUUGAGUUUCUGAGGGUGUGAAUUCACUAAGUGGUUUGCAAACUCCUCCUCGUUCAAGCUUGUGUUGGUUCAUUUAAAAGGUGGACUAAGGAGUUAAUCAAGUUAGUGUUAGCUCAGGAUAGACAAUAGAGUAUUCUCUUUCACACAAGUAGGAUAUAUUUUUUUUGUUUUAGAGGUUAGUACAUUUGUUGUUAAAACUAUUUUCAAAUUGUAUUACUCUGUCACUGCAGAUUGGAAUGGAGGAAGUUGGCAGGUAGAUGAUGAUCCUGUUAAAAUGUUAUAUAAUUUGGAAAGGGGAAGGAAAGUAAUACUGUGGGAAAACAGUACAUAUAAAAUUAUUGAGUUUAUUUAACAGAGAAGAGAUGAAAGGAAGGAGAAUGGGAAAGGGUGAAAUCUAAAUGUUUUACUCACUAAAUCAAGACUAUCUAACUCACACUAAACUAAAACAUAACUUCCUAAGGGCAAAUCCAACAGGGAAUUAAAAUCUCACAGAGAAUCCUUAGUAAGUCAGAUAUUGAAGUCUCAGGUGUGAUGUCCACAGAUGGUCUCAUCAAAGUAAGAAGGUCAUCUCUCCAGACACUAUCCAGCAGAAGACUGAAGAUAACUUCUCAACACAACCUGUAGAUAUUCAAAAGCCCAGUGGCUUGAUGGAUGGGUUUCAAGAUGUCUCAGUCACAUACAUUUUCUACUUCAUCUCCCAGGUUCAGAGUGACAGUUGGGAAUUGUUCCUAGUUCUGACUCAACCAGGCUUAAGAAGAUUCUGGUCUCAAGCCCCUGUCAAUCAUCCCUUGCAACCUUUACUUCCCAUUGCUAUGAUCCUAUAUGUUUUUUUAAAGUUUUAUAUUUGCUGAUACCUUUUUUUAAAGGGAUGGGAACAGUUCAAUAAAAACUAAUGAAUAUAUCAGUUGCUUCCAGAAUAUUCAGUAUUCCACUGGCAUUGUUUCCUAUUUUUGCAAAGGAAGGGACAUGUAUUCUCAAUUCUUCUCUGGGGUCAAACUUGGACAUUAUGUUUAUGUUGACUUUUGGGUUCUGAUUCUGUCUAUGUUCUUUUCAUUGGGCAUACUCUUCUUGAUUCUACUUGUUUUUAUUCUGUAUUAGUUCAUUUAAAUCUUCCCAUGUUUUUUGAAUUCUGAAUAUCUUACAAUGUAGUUAUAUUAUACUCUUUUGCCACAAUUCAUUUUGCUUUUCCUGUGAAAGUGUGUCUUUUUUUUCCCGCUACCGCAAAAAAAGUUGUUAUAAAUCAUUUGGGUUGUGCAUGUAUAUACAUUAUCUGUGUCUUCAUAUUUGUCAUUGGCUUCUUUGGUAUAUAUGCACAACAACCCAGCUGAACUUUCUAGCUGAACUAUGAAUAUACUGUUCUCUAAACAACUCUGAAAUAGUGCCUCAAAUCAAAAUUUGGAAUAGCAAAGCCAACAAAAAGUCGGUGGUGUUAAGACAUCUUUCCCGCCAAAGGCAACUUAAAAGGUCUAGGGAGGUCUAUGACACUAUAGUGCUGGUAGGCACCAGUCUAGAAUGGAGUAGUCACACUAACACUAGCAGUGGUAGGCCGUGAAAGUAGCUGUGGCAAUAGCAGCUUCAGGAGCUCUCAUUCCAGAGUAUAUAAAGGGGUAAGAGAAUUGGUCAGAAAGAGAUUAUAGGGGACUCUUGGAAACCACCAUGAAAGCAUUGAAAACUAAAAACUGCAGCACAAAAGAAUCUGAACUUUGGUUCAUUGUCUCCCCAGCCAAAGUGCACAGAGUCAAUUUUAACAAAUUUCAAAGGCAAGAAUAGGUUUAUAAAA
Molecule: non-coding RNA, 61874 nt
Organism: Monodelphis domestica (gray short-tailed opossum)
Lineage: Eukaryota; Metazoa; Chordata; Mammalia; Didelphimorphia; Didelphidae
Source: RefSeq, a predicted model, not a curated record